ACACACAGUCCUAACAAGUAUCACAAACGAUGUAAGAAAGAACACACAGUAGAUUCUAAACUUGCAUCACAAACGAUACAAGAGCAGAAUACAUGAAGACUCAAACCCGAAAAAUCUAAACUUUUAGAAUGACGGCUUGAAUGAACAUUAGGUCUUGAAGUCUUCCUUAUAUGCUGAAGCAGCUUGGGCUAAAUAAUUCGUUGGGCUUCAACAAAAUGCAGAUCGGUUCAGCUUAAUCUGCAAAACAAGAAUCAGAAACAAAUCUGGAAAGUCCUAAAAUGUCGGAACAUUUAUAGGAUCGUUCCAAACAAUAUUAAAUAUUUCCCAAAAUAUAAAAUACACUUUAGAAAUAUUCCACAACUGAUUCUUAGAUGAUAUGCGUGUUGCUUGAUCAAUAAGUUAAGGAAAUAUUGUUUCCUUAAACAAUAAAGGGUGCGUGUACAAACAGGUGAAAACUCAGGCACACUGAACCGUGCCAGGAUGUUGGAGCAUCGUAUCCAACAUCUUCCAGAGACGCCUAAACACAUGUUGAAACUUUGGUUCCAACUUAUAGAUCAAGGAUAUUUGUUUUAGCAACAAUGCAGCUAAUAGAAAUACCCAACAGGUUACCCUAAGAACUGUCACUACAACAACUCUAUAUGAGUUAUGGAAGGGAAGAAAACCUACUGUCAAGUAUUUUCAUGUUUUUGGUAGCAAAUUCUACAUACUGGCAUAUAGAGAAUACAGAAGGAAAAUGGAUCCCAAAAGUGAUGAAGGGAUUUUUCUUGGAUACUCUACAAAUAGCAGAGCUUACAGAGUUUUCAAUUCCACAACCACGGUUAUAAUGGAAUGCAUCAAUGUGGUGAUAGAUGAUGUCACUGAAGAAAGAGUUCCUGAUGUUCAAACACCAGUUCAAGAAACAACAUCAGUUCAAGAAACAAAUGCUCCACUUCAAGUGAAUGAUUCUGUAACUAGGAAUGAAAUAAUUAAGCAGACUGAAGUAUUCAUUUAUCUAUGCAUUAGGAGUUUUUUUUUUGUUUCUCAAAAUAUCUUCCAUAUGCAUGUGUUCAGGGGGAGUAGUGGAAUACGUUUAGUAGUCAUUCAUAGAUUCUUAUUUUGAGGGGGAGUGAUACUAUAAUAUGUACUUGAACUUGUUCAAGUUGUUUGACAGGAUCUGGAGUAUGAUGUGCUAAACAUCUUCAUGUUAGUACUCUGUAAGUAUGAGAAAAUUAUUUUUUCCCUUACUAUAUGUGUGACAGGUCCUCCUGUCUGAUGUGGUGAAGGAUGUUGGAAUAUCCAAACCUAUGUGGGAUUUUAGUUAUCCCUGAUCUGUUGACUAUAGCAUAGGAAUUUAUUUUUCUUCUGCUCUUGUGAGACUAUGCUCCUAUCUUAUCCGUUGUUGCAUGUCUCUGAUAUAUGCAAUACCUCUUCUCUCUUAACUCAAAUUCUGUUAAGAGUAUGAUGCUUUCUUUCUUCAUGUUUGUUUGGUUGAAGCUAUGACUAAAGAUUGUGUGAGGUAUUCUUUUCUGCACACUAGUUCUUCUUUAGUGAUAUUGUCUUGCUACUCCUUCUUCUUGAAUAUGUGUUCGUGAUGACUCGAGGAAAUGUAUCUAAGGUGUCUCUUUAGACUGUGUGUGUGUGUGUGUGCUAGCCGUUUCUUCAUAAGUAUGAGUUCAUGCUACUUGAGGAAAUGAAUGUCAGUUGUAUCCCUCUAUUUAUUUGUACUUGGCCUUAAUUUGUUUUAGCCAAAAAUUUGCCAAAGGGGGAGAUUACUGGGUAUUUGUAUUGGCUGCAUUAUUGCUAAAACAAAUAUCCAUGUUUGUUGUCUAGGGGUUUUCACCUUCCAUCAAUGUGUUCUCUAUGCAAUUCAACAGUGGAAUCAUCCUUCCAUCUAUUCUUUGAAUGCACAUACGUCCUUAAUUUAUGGAGAUGAUUUGUUGGAACAAUCAAUUGCACUCUUAACUUUCAAACCAAGGAAGAUGUUUGGGAUUUGUGCAAUAACUCCUGAAAUCCACAAUGUAAGAUUGUUCUUGUUGCUACCCUAAUCAACAUUUUCAACGGUGUUUGGUAUGCUAGAAAUCAACUUAGAUUUCAAAACACAAAAAUUCCUUGGAGAGCCACUCUUGAUGUCACCAAUUUUAUGUUGAGAAAAUUCAGUGUGAAGCUACACCCUCCUUGAGCUCCUCAGGUAAUUGAGGUAAUUUGGAUUCCACUAUCUCCGAAUUGGAUAAAGUGUAACACUGAUGGGUCUACAAAUAGUAAUCAAUCUUCCUGUGGGGGAAUCUUCAGAGAUAGUAAUUCGGAUUUUUUGCUUUGCUUUGGAGAAAACACUGGUUUGGGCAAUGCACUUCACGCAGAGAUCUUUGGUGCAAUAAGGGCCAUAGAAACUUGCAGAUUCUCAUAAUUGGAAAAAUCUUUGGUUAGAGGUGGACUCCCAGUUUGUCCUCAAAGCCCUCAAAAACCAUUCAUUAGUUCCAUGGAAACUAAGAAAUAGAUGGAUGAAUUGUAUCAUGCUGACUUCCAAAAUGAAUUUCCUUGCUAGACAUAUUUAUAGGGAAGGUAAUCAGUGUGCAGAUACCCUAGCAAGUGCUGGUUUUAAUGUCCCUAAUCUAACGUUUGGUUACAUCUGCCUGAUUGUAUUAGUGCUUUUUUUGUUAAGGAUAUAUUAGGGUUACAUAAUUUCAAGUUUGUAACAUAUUAAGGGGUUUUUGGUUUGGUCCCCCCCCCCCCCCCCCUAUUUCCUUGUUUUCCCUAGUUCCUUUUAUAUAUAAUUUUUGGUAGUCUACCUAAUUGCUAGCUACUUCUUUUGGUUAAAAAAAAUUCAUGUUUGUGUUGUUGGAUACAAUGUUCCUACAUAUUUUAGGCAUCUUUGUAAGAUGUUGGAUACGAUGUUCCAACAUCCUGACACGGUUCAGUGUGCCUUGUUUCAUGCCUGUUUGUACACGUGCUUUAUAUUAUUUAAGGAAACCAUAUUUCCUUAUCUUAUUGACCAAGCAACGCGCAUAUCUUUAUAGAAUCAGUUGUGGAAUAUUCCUAAAGAUGUGAUUAUAUUUUAGGAAAUAUUUGAAGCUGUUUUGGACGUUCCUAAAGAUGUUCCUACAUUUUAGGACUUUCCAAAUUUUUCUCUGAUUCUUGUUAUGCAGAUUAGCUGAACGAUUUGCUUUGUUCUGAAACCCAACAUCGUUUAUUAGCCCAUAUUGCUUCAGUAUAUAAGGAAGGCUUCAAGACCUAAUUGAUCAUUCAAGCCGUCAUUAUAUAAAGUUUAGAUUUUAGGGUUUUGAGUCUUUGUGUGUUCUACUCUUGUAUCGUGUUGAUUCAAGUUUAGUCCUGUUUUAUUGUGAGCCUUUCUUGUAUCAGUUUGAUACAUGUUAAGGACUGUGUGUUGAGUUAUAAACUCUUGUGUGCUACGCCAAAGUUGUUAAGCAAGGUUGCAGUUGUUUGUUUGAAGGUAAAUUCACCAUUUAUUUGUUAUAAGUCUGAUAAUCACAGGGGCUGUGAUUGACUGUAAGAUAGUGAGAUGAGAUAUCAGAUCUAGGAGUUCAUAGGUUGAAAUCAAUACAGGUAGGUCCUAGGUCUUUAGUGUAAACAAAGAGUUUGCUGGGAGCUAUAGAAUAAAGACUACACUAGUGGAUUUCCUUCCUGAUUUGGUAGCCCCCAGAGUAGGUGUGUUUGUCACCGAACUGGGUCAACAAACUCAUUGUGUUCUUUACUUUCGUGUCAUUUAUUUUCAUGCUUUUUAUUUGUUUACUGCAUGAUGUUGGAACAUUAAACGGAACAUUUGUUGUUUGUGUUUUAAACGUUGAAACAUUGCUUAAAACAUCUUAAAACAAGUACGCUAGAAUUUCAUUACACAUAAAUUAAGAGCACAAAAUUCAUCAUAAAAAAAAUCACAAAAGUUAUAAUUCACACAAAAAAUUUGGCUUAAUUGCACUUUUGGACCCUUAUCUUUUCAAAAGUUGCGGUUAUGGACCCCUAACUAAUUUAAAUACAAAACAGCCCCCUAUGUUUUGAUUCUUUGGGAGUUUUGGACCCCUAGUCCAUUGUUGAUUCGGUCAACGCUGACGUGGCACCCUAAGUGAGGUGCCACGUGUCUAUUUUUUUAUUUUUUUUGCCUUCGGGGUCCAAAACUGCCAAAGAAUCAAAACAUAGGGGGCUGUUUUGUAUUUAAAUUAGUUAGGGGUCCAUAACCGCAACUUUUAGAAAGAUAGGGGUCCAAAAGUGCAAUUAAGCCAAAAAGCUUAUGACCCCAAAACGUCUAAUUAUUACUGUUGAGAGCAAAAUCUUUUAUUGAUGUUUUAAAGAUAACAAACAUAUUUACUUUAAUCUAUAUUGUUAUCUACUAAUGAAUUUUGUGAGAAAUGUUUCAUGAGAAUGUUUAGUAAAAGCAAGAGAACGUUCUGGCACUCACAAGGGAUAACAAAAUCUUUAUUGAAAAUGGAUAUGAACAAAUAUGAGCUUUUUGGGGAAUUAUCAAGAUAUGCAUAAUUAAGAUCAAGACCAAAGCAAAUAUUCUCUUUUGUCUCACUUAAAGAGGAAAGAAAUCAAGGUUCUUGGAAAUGCAUUAAAGGACAAAGAAACAAAGGAAAUAAAUUAUAUUCUUGCACAUGUGUUGGAAGCAAAAAGAAUAAAAAUUAUCCUUGGGCCCUCAUGUGGCUUUUUCGAUCCUUUAAGGAAUUUUGAGGAAAAGGAAUAUUCAAAGGAUUAAUCUUUAUCUCCAAGUUACAUGACAUCAUCAAGAUGAUCUAAGCAAACAUCAUCAAGUGGGCAGCAAGUUACCAAGGCUUGAUCACAGCUCAUCACCAACUAAGCAAGCAUGUGCUCUACAAUUUCGUUCAAGUUUUGGUUGGAACUGAGAGAAUGAUCUGGGCAAAACUGAAGAAACAUUCUCUACAUGCUUUCUCCCCAAGUCUCUUUGGAGCCAUAAUUCAAAUUCAAAAUGGAAGCACAACAGCUCUUUAUUGGCUUGCUCUCCAAGGGAUUCAGCUCUAUAAAUAGAAGAGGACAUUGAAGGAGAAAUGCAAGAGUUUGAAAUACAAAGCAUUUAUCUCUCUCAAAGCAAAAGCUAUCAAUCUCUUCAAUCAUCUUUUCUCAUUGAGAACAUAUUUCUAAGUUUGUACAAGGAUAGUUUGUUUGACAUAUAAAGUUCCAAACAACAUCCUACACAUCUUUUGUUUGAGACGCCAGAUCCAAACAACAUUUUUAUUACUUUUGUUUGAGACAUUCGAUCCAAACAAAUCACCUUACAAAGAGAUAACUAGAUCUCAAGUCUAUUGGGCUUAAUAGUUUGAGAUAGGAAGAGUUCCAACCUUUCUUGUGCGAAAGCAAAGAAUUGUAGAAGCCUGCUGAGGUUGAUAAUACAGUGGUUACGGACUGAUCUGGUGUGAUCAAGACCUUAUAGUGUUGGUUAGAAGUUUCUACCAACUGCAUACUAUAGUGGACAAUCUCACACGAAGUGUGGGGACUGGAAGUAGCCGGGUUUGGUGAACCAGGAUAACUCUCCUGUGUUACUCUCUCUCUNNNNNNNNNNNNNNNNNNNNNNNNNNNNNNNNNNNNNNNNNNNNNNNNNNNNNNNNNNNNNNNNNNNNNNNNNNNNNNNNNNNNNNNNNNNNNNNNNNNNGGUAGGUACGGUACGGUACGGUACGGUACGUACGUACGUACUACUCUCUCUCUCUCUCUCUCUCUCUCUCUCUCUCUCUCUCUCUCUCUCUCUCUCUCUCUCUCUCUCUCUCUUACUUAUACACACUAAACACACACAUUAUCACAAAGCUUUAAUAUUCACCUCCAGAACAUUCUGGUCCUAAUCUCAACCAUAUUAAUCCAGAGUUCUCUGGUCCUAACUUAACUCAUAUUAUUCUGAUAAAUUAAACUGCCUCCAGAACAUUCUGGUCCAAGAUAAAACAACUGCUUAAUACUUGACUAAAUGUUUAAAAUUCAGUUUAUUAUUGUUUUAACAUUCUACACUUAUAUUAUAUCUUUCCAAAACGUUCUGGUCCUUUAUACAUAAAGUUAAUAUUUAUCUGUUCAACUAAUAUUUACCAAGAUCUUUCUUGAGUACAUAAAAUCUAAUUUAAAGUUUCAGGAAUAAUUUUAAAAGGGUCACAAUUCAAACCCCCCCUUUCUUGUGACGUUUAUUGCUACCUCAAUUACGAUCUAAUAAUUUAUUACCACUAAUUACCUCUAACUUAGUAAAAUAAUUAUUCUCUCUAAAACAUCAAAAAUAACAUUCUCAAAUAAAAUUACUAAUUUCACCUUUCUCACAAAGAGACCAAAAUACCUUUAGCCUCUAAAAUGACCAAAAUAUCAUUCUAGGCCAAAAAUCAACUAAUCCCAAAUCAAAUACAAACAAAGACAAUUAAGCACAUAUAAUAAAUAUAUAAAUAAAAUAAUCCUAGCUAAAAACGGGCUGUUACAUCUGAGGUUUAAACUUUAACCCGUAAACGGAGCCGAUCUUACGAAAUUGAAAACCUGACUCUCAUAGUAAAGAGAGAGCCCUUGAAGGAAAGAAACACAUUUUUUUUUUUAAAAAGGAAAAAAAAAUUUAUAAUGUUUGUUUUAUUUUAUUUUUUGAAAUAAUAAUUAUAAUGUUUGGUUUUAGAGCUUUGCUAUUUUAUACUACAAGAAUGAGCCAAGAUAUAAAAAGAAAAAGUUAUAUUGUAUUUUUAUGAGCAACGAUAACUUGACAUCAAAAUACAAACACAAAUUAGACAUCAAACACUGUUUACAGUAUAUUUAUACAGUAUUUAUUCACAAAUUUUAAUUUUAAUUUAUGUUUUCUUUCCCUCUUUUGGUCGACUUUCUCACCAUCCUUCGGCCACUAUCCGUCCAGCCACCGUCGUCCAACUCAGAUCUGCAGAUGCCUCCUCCCUCCUCGACGCCUACUUCAACUCCAUCACGGCCUCCCUCUUUCUACCUCAAGCAUCUUCUCAGAUCCACCUCACCCACCACAACCAUUGUCAUCACCACCUCCGCCGCCUGAACUCUCACCGGCCACCGCCUCCUACAUCACGUUCGUCUCCUCCUCCUUCUCUGACACCUUCAUAUCAGACCACUACUACCACUAGCGAGCACGUUCACCACUACUGUCGCCGUCUCCUACAACAACUCUAUACUCCAUCGCCAUCCUUUUCACCUCGUUUCACCACCACAAUCGGACCUCUCAUCUCCUCCUCCGCCUUCACCGCAACUAGAUUCCAGAGAGAGAGAAGUCAGGGAACGAGAGAGAGAAGAACGACGAGGGAGAGGAGAGAGAUACCUGCUGCAGGAAAAAUAGAGAGACAGAAUUAUUUCUGUAUUUUUAUUUGUAAAUAACAGUCCUAAUAAUUCUAUAGGUAGAUGAGAGUUGAAUUGAAUUGAGCUGAAAAAAUAAAUAAAUUAAAGUAGAAAAAUAUAAUUCUUGAGGAGCUGAACCCAAGACCAUCAAGCCACCAACAUAGAAUUUCUUUCAAUACCACAAACAGACUUCCUGCAGUGACGAAAAUUGUACAUUACACAGUCAAGACAUCCUCCACCAUUCGAUUAAUCUAACUGUCCAAAUUAUUUCUUUCAAUUUCAUAUUCUUAAACCCCAAAAACCAAAGUAGUCGUUUGUUUCAUUCAAAGCACACGCGCUGCGCAGUUCCUUCCAUCUGAUCUGCGAGUCUUCUCAGUUUUAUAGGUAAUAAACUAUGCUCUCUAUUUUACACUUUCAACAAUCCAAAAUUUGCAACAUUAUUUGAUAACGUUACACCAUUCACCAAAGCUUAUAACUCAAAUUUCAUAAUUUUAAAUUGUAUUGUAACUAUUUAUUUAUGUUAAGUUGUAUCAAAUUCUUCAUUCCUAUUCCUGUUCAUUCCAGAAUAGUUUUGUUGAACGCCUAUCGUCAUACAAUGGCGCCGUCGGAGUCAUCCGUUGUGGCGGAGUACGCAAAGUCUAACCGUUCGACGUGCAAGAAAUGCUCAGAAGCUAUACAAUCUAAAACCCUAAGAUUGGGUUUGAUUACAAAAGACAAGAGUAGAGGCUUCGAUGUUACUAAAUGGCACCACCUCACUUGCUUCACUGUACCCUCCUCUCACUCCUCAAUUGAUAAAAUUACCGGCUUUUCCUCGUUGAAGGUGAUUUUCUUUCUUCUUUUUAUACAUUUUCGUUCAUCAUCUUUUUUUGAAGUUACACACUUAUUUAAACAUUCGUGAGACUGUUUGACAUCUUCGUAAGCUGUUUUCAAGUUAUUCUCAUAAGCUCGAGUAGACAGCUUAUAACUUCUAAGAUAACAAUCUAACUUUAUUUUAUCUUUUAUUGUAGAAAUAGCAUAGCUUACAUUUAAGGGCUUAUCAUUAUUUUAUCUUGGCUAAUAGUCAUGUUGGUCCUGGAUGUGUAACAAGUAGUCAUAAUGGUUUUUCAUUGUAUCGAAAUUUCAAAAUUGUCCUGAUUGUGCACUUUGUUAGUCAAAAUAGCCCUGUCAUUAAAAUAAUUGUGUAAUAUUGUCAUAUUAGUCCUUCAAUAUAAUUGCUUAUUUUCAUAUCAGUUCUUAUAAGUACUUAUUUAUUGUCAUUUCCUUUCUUAUAUGAAGAGUUAUUGUGAGUAUUGAGGAAUUAUUUUAUCGUCCGAGACUAUUUUGACUUACAAAGUGCACAAUUAGGGACUAUUUUGAAAUUUGUAUAUAUUGAGGGACUACUGUGAGUCUGUGAUUAUUCGUUAAGUUAAACAUUCAGAGACCAAAAUGACCAUUGCCGUUUUAUCUUUUAUUGUAGAAAUAGCUUACAUAUAAGCGCUUAUCAUGAAUGAAAAUUAAGCUGUUUAUCCAAACAAGGCCUUAGUCCUUUAAGUUUUUUUGGAACAUAUUGGUUUUAAGUUAUAAAAUGUCCCCACCAUUACCCUUUUUUCAUCAAACACAAUUCAAAACUGUUUAUGUGGUUGUUCAAUGAUAAGUUGGUAUGUCUAAUGAGAAUGGCUUUUCCAACUGUAUUGGGCAUGUUAUAAAACAGUUCAAGAUUGAUCCAAUUCUAUCCAUCAAGGUUGUUUCCAUAGGUGUAUUAUUCAUUAUAAGUUUGAAAUAAAAUCGAUUACUUGAUUUAUAUGUAAAUUUAGGUUUGAAUUCGAAAACAAGAAGAAAACAUGCGUAAGUAAUCAUGUUUGGUGUCAUAAGCACUUUUUGGACUAGCACCUCAAUGUUAAGAGGUCAUGUAAGCACUUUUAACAGAAUUGAAUCAAAAAAGGAUAACAAUGUAAAUAUUCUAUGAUUUAAAAGUCCAAUUUGUUACAAUUUUUUUUUAAAUAACUAACUUGCUCAAACAUCUAACUUAAAAGACCGCAAAAGAUAAACAACAAAAACUACAACAACAACUAAGCCUUAUCCCAUUAGGUGGGGUCUGCUACAUGGAUCAAAUUACACCAUAAUGUUCUAUAAUAAAUCCGAAAGGACCGCAAGAGUUAUUUGACGUUUAUUUAUUUAUUGAUGUAUUUCCAGAGCGGUGACCAGGAAGCUCUCACGAAGUUAUUUACUGAACAGGAGGACAACUCUGCAGAGGUGAGAGCUCCAUUUUCUGACUCAAAUUUUUUUAUCUGCAUUUUAUGCCUUUAAUCCGCACAUCUCGAAUUUGAAAGUGAGUAGUUUAGUCGGUGCAAUAUGAAAGCAAUGAGCCACUAAUAUAAAUAUUAAUGUGACUGUUUCCCAAUGAAACUUAGGUUUUUUUCUUUCUAUAAGCAACAUGAAUAUUGUUACGAAGAGUACAAGGGAUACUCCAAUUUGAUGCAAAAAUUUAGUUCAAAAAUCGCUUCGAAUACAUAUUAGAGAGUUAGUGCACCAUUCAGCAAAACCAUAAUGUAACCUUCCUGCCUUGUAACUUGUAAUUUACAAACCUACUCCAAGGCACCAGUGUGAUAUGGUUUAUUAAACCAAACCCAUUAGAUAUACCAUCCUUAAAAAUGAUCCUGUUUCUAUGAAGCCAAAGACAACAAACAGUAGACAGCCAAACAAAACUUAGGUUAUAACUUUAUUAGACACUCGUUUGAAGGUGGGACCAAGAAUGAAAUGAAUAUGAUACAAAUUUAAGUCUGAAUCAGAUAGUAUUUAAAUCAAAAUUUGAUAAUGAUCUCUAGCUAAUGACACUCAAUAGUCUAUAACGGCAUAUUGGUCAACAAAAAAUUGCAUAAUCUCUCCAAAUGCAUCCAUGGCAAAUUUGAACACAUUUUGUAUAAUACUAAAUCCAUCCGAAGUGUGUAAUGGAAACAUCUUCCUUGAACCUGAAGUUGAAAUGUUUUUUGAAAAAGCAUUACAUUUAUGCUUGGAAAUGCUGUGACAACAUUUUAAAGUUGAAAAGGAAAUGCGUUUGAAUGUUAUUUUUUGUAAUUAUAUGGAAGCCUUACUUGAUAUUCUGAACAUGUAUGUAUCUGGAAAAGAUGUUUGUUUAUGUCGUUUGGUUUUCUGAUGAUCUUUUUCUCUUUGUUCUUCAUGAUUAUUGCUUGCACUAAUGAGCAUUUGGUUGUAUGUUACACUUCUUUUAUGGCAGGCUAGUAAAAAAACGAAAGGCAUACAAAAUGAAGAGCAAGAUGCUGAAGAAAGGGAUUCAAAGAAAACAAAAGUAAGCACGUGCACUGGUAAAGAGUUCUUGAAUUACAUAUUGUGUAGCUUGGGGAGAGAUAGGUGGGUAUAGGAUCGAGGUCCUACGGAGGACCGGUCGGCCGGUGAAAGAACGAAAACACGAGGAACGUAACACGGUUCGUUAGUAGGAUCGGUAGGUUUUUGAUAGAGUUGACAGAAAUAAAUAGAGAAAAUAGAGGAAAAACAAUAAAAAACAGAGGAAAACAGGGCAAAAACGAACCGGAGUAAAGUGUAAGCGUCAAGGUGCUAUAGGAAGUAGAAUCGUACGAUCCUACGAGCCAGCACUCGAUCCUGACUACAAUGGGUGGUGGUUUCUGCACCCUGAUGAGAAUAUUUUAAAAUUUUAUCCCAGAUCUUACAAAAAUUGGAAACAAUGGUUUUGAUUUGAGAGUAAACAUUUAUGUUUGUCCCAUAGUGGUUAUCCCACCUAAUGUCGUUUGAAGUUAUUAUGUAGCAUGUUUAGUGUUAUGUAGACUCUUGGAUGUCUAGCUAUAUAUGUUAUCUCUGUUAGCAAAGAUCAAACUGAAGUCAAAAUUGACCAAAAUAAAUAUUGUUCAACCCUUUCUUUCACCCACAUUACUUAUCCACUCUCUCUAGCCUCCCCGUCCAAAACCAAUGUUUACUUUCCUUUAUCUCCACUCUUCCUCUUAUAGUGUAUCAUGCGGAUAUCAUAGUUAUACUAAUUCAACUUAUCGGUUCAACAUUUCGCGAGGCAUAAAUAUGCCUAUGACAAUACAAUACAUAAUUCCCAUCAUCGCAGCCCAAACCAGUUCCCAUUUUGCAUUCCUAAAUCUGAAGUAAAGUAACAAUCGUUGUUUAAAUCUCACAAAAACCCUCAAAUCUGCAAAUAGCCUUUUUCGUUCCCAGAAAAACAUGGAGUUCGAAAGAAGAAAAAAAACAGAAAACAAAAGUUGUCAUUGGGUGUGGGGCUUAGUUAUUAUAGAAAAUGAAAAGCAUGAAGCAACUAAAAAAGAUUCUUUGGAUGACAGAGUCAUAAGCUAUGGAAUUAGAGCAAGAGAUAUUUUGAAAUGACUAUGUGUAUGUUAGAGAGAAAUGUAAAUCAUGAAGCAAAUAAAAAUAGAUUCUUCGGAUGACAGAGUCAUAAGCUAUGGAAUUAGAGCAAGAUAUAUGUUGAGACGACGAUGUGUAUGUUAGAGAGAAAUCUCAGAAUGAGUAAUGAAGAUAAACAUAUGGCAGUACGCAGUAUAGCAGUACCCAACACGGUAAAACAGGAAGAGGGGGAGGGGGAUGGUGACAGUGGCGAUGGGGAGCCAAAGAGAGAUGAGGAUGAUGAGAAAGAAGAAUCAUUUAUUUUUUUGGUGAAUCAGAUGACAUAUGGCGACUAAAAUGAGUCGAAUCCAUCUGGAAAAGAUGUAUACAGUUAAAUCAGAAGCCGUGUAUUGUUGGUUUAUGUUAUUUUCGAAUUUUUAUUUUCUCCUUCAAAUUGCGUAUUAUUGGUAAUUAUUUUUUAUCCCUAAAUCCUAAUUCUUUUUGUUAUUCAUAUUUAUUGCUUGCAGUUAUCCACCUCUGAUGUCAAAGCUGCGAUUAAUAUCAACUUUUCAGUUUCUGAUGUCAAGAGCACAUACAAGGCAAGGUUUUGGCUCCUUUUUAUUUUUAUUUUUUACUUUUAUACUUUAUUCGAUUACUUGACAGCUUCGAUGUACUGACCAAUCCUUACUAAUUUUACUCCACUUUACUGAUCCAGGAUGCUACCCUUUUGCCUAAAUGGAAGGCUUUCCAGACAGUCAUUUUUCUUGAACGGGUGAGAAUUUGAGUAUUGGCCUUGGUGUGUGUGUGUACUUUCAGCAUGGUUAUACACUUUUAUGUAUGGUUUACAUGUUCCCCCUUGUUCUAUGCUUUGAUAAUUUGCAGGAUGAUGGUCUGGAAGAUUCAAGUAAAAUUGCUGCAUUUGAUUUUGAUGGUUGUCUUGCGAAAACUGCUGUGAAUAGGUAUGUCUACAUCUGAAGUCAUAACUUUUUGAUCAUUAAUGCUAUUGGUUUGGGUGUAAAUGGAAGUAUCAAAGGCUUCUGGUGACAUUAUGUGGUGCUAGCACAAACAAGUUCUUAAAAUGGAUAUAUUUUAUCAAUAUCACCCUUUUGAUUUGAUAUUAUAAUAAUAAUAAUAAUGAUAAUAAUGAUAAUGAUAAUAAUGAUAAUAAUGAUAAUAAUAAUAAUAAUAAUAAUAAUAAUAAUAAUAAUAAUAAUAAUNNNNNNNNNNNNNNNNNNNNNNNNNNNNNNNNNNNNNNNNNNNNNNNNNNNNNNNNNNNNNNNNNNNNNNNNNNNNNNNNNNNNNNNNNNNNNNNNNNNNAUUAAUAUUAUUAUUAUUAUUAUUAUUAUUAUUUAUUAUUAUUAUUAUUAUUAUUAUUAUUAUUAUUAUUAUUAUUAUUAUUAUUAUUAUUAUUAUCAUCAUCAUCAUUAUUAUCCUUCCGAAAGUGUCUAAUUUUUGAGAAAAUUAUCUUUUCUUUCAGAGUUGGUCCAGAUGCUUGGUCUCUCAUGUAUCCCUCAAUUCCUGAUAAACUGCAAAGCUUAUACAACAAUGGCUACAAGCUGGUGUGUUCCUUUUAUCUGUAAAAUAAAGCUUAUUAUUCAAUUUUGGCUGAUUAUAGAAAUUUAUAUUAGAACUGGUAUCUAUGUAAAUAGAAAAUACUGAAUUAAUGACAGGUUAAUUGAUUAAAAUAACUAGAAAACAUUGUUUCACUAGGACAGAAUACAAAAAUAGGAUGGGCAAUUAAUAACGGAAGGUACAGAAGCUACACAUAAUACAGGAGUUAGAGAGCCUGCCUUCUCUCCCAACCACCCAUAGAAACUUCAAAACAACCGAUACCUUCCGAUUCCUUCUCCUAUUCGUUUUAUUCAAUUACGACAUAAUAGGUUGGCUGGCCACCCUUACAUAAACUUAAUUAAUACUCUUUCCUAUUUAGCACAGUGGUGCUUCUGGUAUGAAACUUACGAUGUAGUAUGCUAUCUACUGUGGUUGUUGUUGUCUACUAUAGGUAAUUUUCACCAAUGAAUCCAAUAUUGAUCGUUGGAAGAACAGCAGACAGAAAGCCGUGGACUCAAAAAUUGGACGUCUAAAUCAGUUUAUUGAGGAAGUGAAGGUCCCAAUUCAGGUGAGUUUGUUGGUAAUACAAAUGUAGCUUAUGUUGUUUUCAACUAUUAAACUAUAAAUGCAACGAUAUUUCGCCUGUCUUAGUUACUUUUUAUCAUGCUUUUGGAUCAUCUUUUUGCAGUAUAGUAUAGUUCCACCUACGAAACUUAUCUUCAAUUCUAGGUAAAAUUGCUCCCACGGUCCUUUAAGUUAUUUUAUUGUAACAUAUAAGGGCUUUACGGGUCCAUUAAAAGAAAAGCUUAUUUGGCCACUAUGAAGAUGCUGUCUAUUGCAGUGCUUACAUAGCAAGUCUAACAAGUCAUUCAAUAUAAAAGCCAUAAUUUUUCACUAAAUUUUUAUUGAACAAAAUAAUAAAUACAAAUUGAUUAGGAUUCUUCAAACCUAUAAUUUGGGAUUUCUUUAAACCAUAAUUAGGGGUUUCUUCAAACCCAGAAUUGAAAAUAUUUAACCACUUUUCAUGCUACAAUAAGAAAAAAUGCAUGGCUCCUGGCUCUUGUAACUCGGUGUUAAUUUGCAGCAUCAUCAUCAUUAUUGUAAACCAAAGGGAAACAAACCUAGAAAAGAUAAUUUAGAUCACAACUUAUCAGUAGCUAAGGCUUUCAAAUGUUAAGAAUUUUCGUUAGCAGCUUUCCCCGAAGAGGUGAAAUUCAACCUGAGAAAAAGAAGGAUAAUGAAUAAUCAACCAGCUAAAUUUCAUACAACUUUCUCCAAGGAGGUGAAAUUCUGUUGUUGCGCCGAUUUAGGAUUCCCACUUAACAAUGGCGUGUCUUCUCAGUAGGCUUUACAAAAAGUUUAAAUGAAAAGUAGAGAGAUAGAAAACAAAGUCAGAACCGCUUCAUUUCAUUACAUGGCUGAAAUAAAAUCAUGUUUGAAGAAAGAAUAUAUUUUUCUACCACUACAGAUUCUGAGUUUGAAGAGUCUGGACUACUGGUUUGAAGAAGCCCAAUCAUCAAUCUGGUUUUUUUAAUAUAUAAUUAAUUAAAAAUCUGAUUUUUUUUUUUUUCGAAUACAUAGUUGCACUUUCCUUCUAAGCAUCUUAAUCGACAAGUCAACAUCGUACCGGUAAAUGUAAGUUUUUUUGACAAACCUAAAUGAAAACUUGAUGAUCAACGACGUUAACGUCAUGAAACUAAAAGACCGACAUGGGAAAAAGAAACAUAAAGGACCAAUCUGGCACAAUAAAAUAAUUUAAAGGUCACAGGAGAAUUUUUGUCCUAAUUCUUUUGGUUAUUUGGAAAUUUAAAAGCUAUUAGGUUUCUGCUCUUGAAGUUGUGUUCUUAUUUUUCAGUUACCACUUAAAAUAGACUAGGUUUAACAUUGCUGUCAACUUCAUACCAGUAUGCUGGAAAGCCGCCUUAAUUGCAACAACUUUGGUUGUCGCCAUUCAUUGUAGGCUUGUAGCAACUGUAUUUGGGUGGGCUAAUUUAGCUUCUUCAAAAAAAAUUGUAGCAACUGUAUUUGAACCUGAGCUGAGUAUCCAAUUUUUAUCUAUACAGGUUUUUAUAGCUUGUGGGACAGGUAAGUCAGGCAAAGCUGGAAAAAAGGGUAAGUCGGGCAAAGCUGGAACAGAGGAAGAUGAUCCUUUUCGGAAACCAAAACCAGGGAUGUGGCAACUUAUGGAGAAACACUUUAACUCCGGUCUUACCAUCGAUAUGGAUGAGUUAGUUUUUCCUCUAUUUGAUAGCUCAAUUGAUGCUAUAUUUUGGAUUCUUAAAUUUAUUUAAAAUAAUUUAUGUAGAAUAACAUGAUAUUUUAUCCACAAAGGGUUUAGAAUGUUAAAACAUGCAUUUUCUUUGUAGAUCCUUUUAUGUCGGUGAUGCAGCUGGGAGAGAAUCAGAUCAUAGUGAUGCUGAUAUUAAAUUUGCAGAGGUAGUUAAAAUAUUUUAGGACCAAGAAAUAACUUAUGAUUUGAGCACCAUUUUAGAAAUAGUUGGUUCCUAUCAGUAAGGCUUAAAUCAUUCUUAAAUGAAUAACAUUGUCAAAUACCGGCUAUGGCGGAUUUUGGGUGUGGAAUUUUUUACAACCAUCAUCGCCAAUUUUUGAAGGAUGGUUCCGCCAUGUCAUAAAAUGGCAGAUUUUGUUUCCACCAUGGUCUGCAUUUGAUAACAUUAUGAAUAAUGCAUUAGUUUGAGCACAAUUCUCUUUCUUUUUGAGUCAAGCGCAUUUGUGUCUAUCCAUCUCUCUUUCAUCUGUUUAAGUUCAUGGGUGUAUAUUUCAUCAAAUUGGACAUAUUAUUGUCGGAUGAUUGCUCUACGGGCCUCUCAGUUUGCUCAAAAGCCCCUAUUGGAUCGUAACUCUCAGAUUGUAACUCCCACCAAGCUUAUUUCAGAGGUUGAGCAAUCCACGGGGUGCAUAGAGCAAUUUCCUUAUAGUCUUAAGCGACGGUUAUACUUCUGAAUAAUAUUUGACCUUUGAUGUCAUUAAUAUGUUAAUUUUCAUUUUAUCUUUGCAGGUUUAUAUCUAAUUCUUUUAUUUAUUUAUUUCCAAUGGUUGCAGGCAAAUGGUUUGAAAUUUUAUGUCCCUGAAGAGUACUUUGCCGCAUGAGCAUCUAAUUUGGUCAUUGGUUCACAGAAAGGCCUAGAGAAUGAAUACUUGUAAAAAUUGAGUUUGAAGUUACUCGGAUUUUGAAUGUUUUGUCCCCUUUUUNNNNNNNNNNNNNNNNNNNNNNNNNNNNNNNNNNNNNNNNNNNNNNNNNNNNNNNNNNNNNNNNNNNNNNNNNNNNNNNNNNNNNNNNNNNNNNNNNNNNGAGAGAGAGAGAGAAGAAUAACACAGGAGAGUUAUCCUGGUUCACCAAACCCGGCUACUUCCAGUCCCCACACCUCGUGUGAGAUUAUCCACUAUAGUUUUCUUGCUAACAGAAACUUCUGACUAGCACUACAAUAUCUUGAUCACACCAGAUCAGUCCGUUACACCUGUAUUAUCAACCUCAGCAGGCUUAUACAAUUCUUUGCACACUAGCAAAAGAAAGGUUGGAAUUUUCUAUCUCAAAACUAUUAAGCCCAAUAGACUUUGAGAAAUACAACACACUUUGUAUGAUGAGAUUUGUUUGGAUCAAAUAAAUACUCAAAUCUUUGUUUGAGUUUUACAAGAGGCAAAUUCAAGAGAGAAGAUCCAAGAGAUAUAGUGAGAGAGCUUGGAAUUUGCUUUGUUUGCGAAGAGCUUUGUUUGUAGUGAUGAUUUUCACUUUGAGAGAUAUUAGCUUACAAAACUCUUGCUUAUGACCUUCAAAGGCCCUUGUAUUUAUAGGUGAGGAGUGUCUUGGUGAUCAAGGGAGAAAAUAGAGCUGUUGGACACGUUUUUGAUAGUUGUCCAAAGUCUCAAUUGAUUUCUCUUUUCUUCUUUAAAAUAGCCAGAACGUUCUCAGAAUGUUCUUUCUGAUUUGCCUGGCUUUGAAAGCACUGUUGCUUUGCUUGCGCAUGAGAUAACCAGCUGUAAUGAGCUGUAUAACUUGCUGCCCACUUCUGAUGAUGUCAUGUCCUUUUGCUUUAGUGAUGUCAUGCUUAAGUAAGCCAUGUGAUCUUAUCCAUGAGAGAUUAAUGGACUUUACUUUUCCAAAUGGGCUUAAAGCUUUUCUUAUGGCCCAAUUAAAACAUAAUCAGCCAUACUUUCUUGUUCACUUUUGAUGUACUGUUCAAUUUUCAUCGUUUUCGCCAGAACGUUCUCAUUUCAUUCUCAUGAAACAAAUUCUCACAAAACGAAUUAGUAGAUAACAAGAUUAAAUAAAUAUAAUAUGUUUGUAAUCUUUAAAACAUCAAAUAAUGAUUUUGUCUCAACAAGACACUCAACUCUAAAGUUACCUCCUUUGUAAUCCAAGUUUCUCUCUCUUCAAGCUCUUCUUCAAAAUAUGCACAAGAACUCUUAUAUAGCAGUCUUCAGCUGAUAAAAUCGUGCCACGAUUGAUACGUACGACCGAAGGUACGACCAACCUUAUCCUGAAAACUUAACCAGCAAGUUUAAAAAUCGUGUCACGAUUUCACAAAAUCGUACCACGAUUUGACACCCUGCAAACCAACUCACGAUAUUACAAAAUCGUGUCACGAUGCCAAAAUCGUGUCACGAUUUUUCUGUUCUUUCAAACCACAAAUUUGAAGGCAAAUUUCAACAUAAGCCAUGAGAUCAUUCAGAUAAAUUCGCUCUUGUUCUCAAAUACCGGUAACUUUAGCUCGUAGAGAGUGUAUUAUAUUUGAUUAGGCUACAAUAUAUUGAAUAGGUACAAAUAUAAUAGUCUGUUUGAAACUGCGUCCAACAGGCAUUAAACCCACGUAUAGAGAAAAGAGUGGAGUUCUAGCUCACAAAAUCGGGACACGAGAAAUGUGAGACAGACGCAAAUCCAAAUACUUCUUGAAACAUGUUCAAUCUACCACUAAUAAUGGUGAGUUUAUUCUUGGUUAUGAGACUAAUAUUGUGUCUACAAUCUAUUGAAUUCUCGGUUGUGGUUAGGGCUGGAAAUGAGUUGCAUCAAGUCCCGUAACCACAAACUAUGUCGCAUUGCAUCCACAAGUUAAGGGAUUCAAUGACGGCUACAUUCUAAUUUAGUUUUUGAUAUUAGAAGAAGCUGAGAUAGAGCUGUCAAGGAAAGCUAGGGGAAUAUAGCUCAAAUUUGGUAAAACUUGAUAUCUUGACUCCCUAUUAUGAAUUCACUAUAUCAAGUUAGAAAAAAAUGUUUUAAAGUUAAAACCUAAUAUCAUUGAAACACUUAAAAAUGGUGAAGUGAAAUAAGGGAUGAGUGCAUAAUAGAAGAACAUUAACAUUUCCCUUUAUAAGGCUAUUGUCUGAGAUUUUCCAUUGGAGUUGAUUGAUCAAGAAUCUUCAUGACUAUGGUACCAAGAAGAAGGUUGUUCUGAAUGCUGCAAGGACCGGAUGUGGAUCAUCUCUUACUGUUGCUUUUGAAGAUCCCAUCCCUUCUCCAGCAAAGAAGAAGAAAAUGCUAAAGAGAUUGAUAAUAGUAGAUGAGAACAUUGUUGAUAAGAUCCCGACUUAAAUCCUAAAAUGCAGGAUUUUGCGACUUUCUUCACGUUCAACGACUCAAAUCCAUAGUAAAAUUCUAAAAUAGGCGAAAUCCAUCGAUUUUGAUUGCGAUUUUACGAUUUCUUAUAAACUAAGUCAUUUAUGACUAUAUACCAUUUAUAACAUAUAUUUAGUAUUUUUUUUUUUUGGUAAAAUCCAUCGAUUUUGAUUGAGAUUUUACAAUUUCUUAUAUCGAUUCUACAAAGUAGUUGAGUAAAAUCCUUCGAUUUUGGUUUCGAUUUUACGAUUGUCGAUUUUGCUCUUCUCAUUCGACCUGAAGCAAAAUCCCGAUUUUGACAAUCUUGGAUGAGAUAAGGAAGAAAGAAACGGAAGAAACCUUAUAGUUGAAGAAGGUCAAGGUUUUACACCAAAAGGGCACUUCAAAUGUUGCUCCUGCGUCUAACAAAUGUAAUUAUGAACACUCUGUUAAUGGUGAUAAAGGCUCCAAUUUUACUGACCCAUAAGCAGUGACUUUUAAGCUUAUUAACUUAAAUUACAGUUGAUAAUGGUGGCAAUGACUUUCAAGCUUAAACCUGUAAAUUGGAGUCGAGCCAAUGAAUAUCUCCCCAAUUUCUGACAAAUGAUGUCUUCAUAUAUUUGAGUUUCACAAGUAAAAUCAAGGAAAAAUUAUAUUAUUAGCACCUUAAUUUAAUCUUAGGUAAUACCUGAGUCCUUUAUCUAUUUUUUUCCUUUUUUUAUACUUUAUGUUUUUAAAUAUUAAAACUACUAUCUUAAAAAAAAUGUUACACCUCAAUUAAAAAAAUGCCUAUCUGGCCAUUAUGGUGAUGAUGUCUAAGUUUUAGUAAUCAUGUGGCAAAUCCAAGUAAGCAUUUAGUCAAAAAUAUUUUUUACUAUAUUCUGCAUGUAACACGUAAUUGUCCUAAGGAUAUUGGUUAAGGAUGUCAAAAAUAGAAAAUUUUCAUUAAAAACAAAACUUUUUUUACUUUCAUAAAGUUAAACAUUCCACUUUCCAUCAAUUUCCAAUACAUAAUUUCUAUGUUAAUCUUCUUAACUAGUGCUCUUAAGGCACUAUUAACGUUUCCCAAAUAAUAUAUAUAAUUAAAUGCCAAAUUGGAUUUGUCACAUGAUCACCAUAGCAGAGACACAUCAACAGCCUAAAUGGCAACAUAGGCAUUUUUUUAAUUGAGGUGUAACAAUUUUUAAAAAAAGGAUAGUAGUGUUAAUAUAUAAAAACAUAAAGGAUUAUAAUGAGAAAAAUAGAUAAAAGACUAAGGUGUUCCUAAAAUUAAGCUAGGGGCUAAUAUUGUGAUUUAGCCUAAAAUCAAUUGUUUCAAUUAAAUUAAAUUGGACUGUAGUUUGAGUUUCAAAAGAAUAAUGAAAAUGAUUGAUAUGCCUUUCAGGUUUAGUGUUUCUACCCUAAAAUGCGUGCAUCCCCCCCACUCAUUUUUUAUUUGUUUUGUUCAAGUAGCAUAUAUUGUUUAGGAAUUCACUUUUUUUUUUUUUUUCAAACCUUGCCCCAAUAUAUAGUAUGCAGUGUCUUUACCAAUUAAGUUUUGCUCAUAAGGACCUCAUAAGGACCAUCUUGUUCUUACCAACUAAGUUAAGCUCACGAGGACCAUCUUUUCCAUUGUAUUUGUGGUUACGUUUAUAUUUAUUUUCCCUUUUAAAAAAAAUAAAGGAAGAUGUAUUUUUAAAAUCUAAAUGGAUAUUUAUAUCUUUAAAAUAAAAUUUAAAAAAUAUAAAGUGAAUCAAUGUGACAUUGAAUUGUUCCUACCACUGGAAAGUUGUUAGAAUUUUUUGUUAAGGUAAAUUUGACCACAAAUUAAUUAGUAAUUCUAAAAAAAAAUCAAAAUGCCAUCUUUAUUUUCUCUCAACUUUACAAGAAAUGAAUAUUUAUUUCUUUCAACUUUACAAGAAAAUUUCAAAACUAUAAAGUGAGUCAAUGUGACAUUGAAUUCUUCCUACUAUUGGAAAGUUGUUUGAUUUUUUCAUUAAAUUAAAUUUGACAACAAAUUUGUGUUUCAGAAGAAUAAAAACGGGUUGAAAUGUGAUCGUUGUUUUGUCAAUCUAUUCUUAAAUACUUGAAAUGUAUUAUUCGUUCUAUUCAUAAGCCCCCUUUCUCAUUUUCUCCCAUUGUAUUUGGGCAAAUAUUUAUCUUUUUUUUUUUUUUGCUUUGGAAAAAAAUGAAGGUUCAUUUUUCAAUACAAAUUGAUAUAUUUAUUUAUUUCAACUUUUAAAAUAAAUUUUCAAAAUAAAAAAGUGAGUCAAUGAGACAUUUAAUUUUUCAAACUGCUGACAAGUUUUUGGUCAUUGAAAUUAAAUUAAAGUUGACCAAAAAUAUCAGUUUUACCAAAAAAAAUUAAAUGGGUUUAAAUACCCACUUGAUAUUUUGAAUCUACUAAAAUAUAUUACUUCUAUUAAAACAAAUGAACCAACCCUUAAAAAAAAACAAAAAGAAAUGAGCAAACCUCCCCUAUUUUUCUUCUUUCAGGCCUAAUAUUCUUUCUUUUCCUCCUCUAAUGUAGAUGAUUAAUGAAGCAAAAUGAAGUGCAACUAUUGUCAAAAUGAGUAAUUAGACGGUGCUUUUCAAUUUAAGUAUCAUUUAGUAAGCAGGUCUAAAAUUGUCGAACCGUAUAGAGCUGUUCUGUAUGAAGUUCGUCAACAAAUAUUACACAUUGUUCAUAAAUUUCCAAGAGACCACAUCAAGAAGAGAACUCCAAAUGAUUAUAUAGAGAUUAAUCUGGAAUGUGGAAAAACGCAAAAGGUAAAAAUUCAUUUUUUUUUGUUGGUUUUAGCCUGUUGUUUGUUUUUCUCUUCAGAAUUAUUAUUUUUUUCACAUCAAAGUUGAAUUUCUGUUUUCUUUUAUGGUCUUUCUUUUAAUUUUUUACAUUUAAGGGACCGUUCGUGGUGGUUAUGAGUUUUCAAUUUUGGUUUUCAAACUUAAAAUUGAAAAAAUUGUGUUAGUGUAAACAUCAUGUUAAGUUGGUUUUUCACCAAACUUUAAAAUAUCAGAAAAGAAAAAAGAAAAAAAGACCAUAAACAAAACACAAUUAACUUUGAUAUUAAAAAAAAAAACAAUUCACAAGAGACAAACAACUUGCCAAUAAAAAAAAUUACAACGGAAUUUGUACCUUUUUUCCUUUUCCACCUUCCAUAUUAAUCUCUAUAUACUCACUUGAAGUUAUCUUGUUGAUGUGAUUUCUUUGAAACUUAUGAACAAUGUCCAACAUUUGUUGACGAACUUCAUAUAAAUCAACUCUACACGGUUCAACAGUUUUACGCAUGUUUGCUAAAUGGUGCUUAAAUCGAGAAGCACUGUCUGAUAAUAUGAAAAUAGUUGCACUUCAUUUUGCUUGAUUUAUUAUCUACAACAAUGGCAUGUUGCCACACCACAUCAUGUCUCCGAGUAGUAGUGUUUUUUAGAACAUUCCUAGGCCUCUUUGUAUGAACACUUGGGUUUGAUUUUCCUCUUGAAGGAGGAGGCAUACUGCUAGUUCCCAUCAUCUAACCCAAUAAAAAAAAACAAAGACAAGCAAAUUAGAUACAAAAAGCGGAACAAGUGGAGAUCAAUUGAGAGGAAAGAAAAAAAAAAACCAAUGGAGGUUAUGAAAGGAGGAAUUGAAGGGAUGACACAUUCUUGAAAGGAGGAAUUGAAGGGAUGACACAUUCUUAUCUAUAUCGGUGAGUAUAUUCUUCCAUUUUUUAUAGUCACUCUUGAUGGGAAAAUUUGUCAUAUAAUUUGUGAUAUGAUGGUAGGUGACAGAGUCAAAAAGCCAUGACGGAGGAGGAGGUGGAUAAGAUGGACGUCUCCCCUUCUUUUGAUAGCCAUGGAUCUUGUAGCAUGAUCUAGCCGACUAAAGUUUGUUGCAGUUUUGGCAGAUAACCGACAUUUCUUGUUGUUUGGAUCGGUAGCUGAACAUGAUUAGAUGUCAUGGGGAUAGAUGUGCUAAUUUAUGCUUCACGUUCUAGAAACAUUUCGAAAUCAACCAACUCGUCAUAUAACUCAUGAAAGAGUAUUGGAGAGUCAUGUGUGCGAAUAGAUGCCGUAAAUUCUCAUAAUGAUGGUAACCCAUCGAGAGCAAAAAUGACUAAAUCAAGGUCAUCAAGUGGAUGUCCAAUAAGAGAUAACUCAUCCCUAAUGGACUCGAUGGAAUGCAAGUAGGAGGAUACAUAUUGCAUACCCUUGGAGAUUGAACUAAGAUGUUCCUUGAGAGAUAUGACGCAAGAGCGAGACCGAUUGUUGAAGGGUUGUUUGAAUUCAAGUAAGGCAACACGCAAGGUAUCAGCAGAAUCCAUGACAGAGCGGGCUUCGGAAUCACAUGAACCAAAAAAAAAACAAUGUACAAUAGCUUGUCUUGACAGAUCCACUUGGAACAGGCAUUAUUAGGCACUGUCUUACCAUCAGAUUGAAUUGUUGACGUGGGACAAUGCGUGUCACCAAUCACAUAUCCAACAAGGUCACGUGAAACAAGUAGGCCGGUGAAUUUUCUUAUACCAAGCAGGGUAUUAGAGAUGUUUUUAGGAAAAAAUUUGUUCCCCAAAAUAAGAAAACUUUAUUGACUGUUUUUUUUUCUUUUUUUUUUUUCAAUAAUUGGAAUGUCUGAAGCUGUAUGUUCUAUAUACAUCUUUGCUCCCCAAAAUUCCCUGUCAUUUCUUGGUUAUACCAACUGCCCAUACUCAUUAUCCAUUUUUCUUUCUUGGAUAGGUCUGCAGCAAUUUAACCUAAUAUUUUCCCGUUCAUUUGUUGUAUUAGGUUACCAGUAAUUUAACCUAACAAAUUCUAUCUUAAAAAAUGCAUUGCACCAAUUUCAUUUCUAUCCUCUUGCCUUUUUUUUUUUACAAUAUUUUCUACACUUAUUUAAUACGUUUACAAACAGAAUACCCUAGUCCUUAUUUAUCAAUUUUGUUAGAUCUGCAGCAAUCCCAUAUGUGUCAAUCCCUUUACAAUAAACUUGUGCGGAGCACGGGUCAAAAACCUAGUUACUAGUUAUUGUUAUUGGUUCAUAGUAUUGUAUUGUGACUUGACAUAGAAAAAUUAUUGACCAAGAGGAAGUCCAUGCUGAUUAGUAUAUACCAUAGUCGCAUAAUUCGUCCACCCUCCAAGGAACCGUGAAUUGGUUGGCGCGAACCGAUUCCCGGUUAUUACGCGAAUUGGUUCACGAGAAUUCGCACAUGCAUUCGUUGAAUACAGAGAACUAGCGAACAAUGCCCAAAUUCGAUUCUGGAUGAAGCUAUGUCUGUUUGAUUUUGAGUUCAACACCAUCAGACGCAUGUUUCAGUUGUGAAAUUGAGAGGAUUUGGUAGAUUUUUCGAUGCACAGGCAGUUUCUUUGUUGAGAGGAUUUAGCAGAUUUUUUCGAUGGAAUAGAUCAAUUGGUGUGUGUUUCUGUUGGUUGAUGUAUCAGUUUUGUUUUCACUGGUGCUUUAUGUUGUAUCAUUUGUCAUUGCACACGUUGGUUUUUUUUUUUUUUUGCUGCUGGUGGUCGGUGUUUGAACCCCGAACGUUGCAUAUAUUAUGCAUUGUCUUACCAACUCAGCUAAGCUCACGAGGACACACGUUGGAUUUUUAUUAUAAUGAAUGAAUUUAUCUAUGCUAUUUCAAAAAAAAUUAGUUUUCAUUUUCUAUUUUAUUUUUUUGUCAAUGUUUUAUUAAGUAACGUACCGAUUAUUAUAUUUGAACGUACCACGAACCCAAGCAAAGUACUGACUCUGUAUACCCCCUACGUACCUAAAUUUUUGAAAGUCCCGAACCGCGUACCCAAAUUCGUACCACGUAUCGAAGCGAAUUGCGAACUGUGUGACUAUGGUAUAUACCACAUAAUUUGACAGGUAUUGGUUCUUACUAUUUUUAUUUAAUAGAUCUUCUUGUUGGUUGUAUCUGUGAUAUAGAGACUUUUGUAAUAUUUUGGAAUAUGCUUGAAUCAGAUCUUUGUAACUGGUUUGGUGUUUCAGGUGCAUCAUCAAAGGGGUUUCUUGCAAGGGAAUUAGGCCAAAUCACCUAUUUGCAAGAAGCGUACGUUCAUUUUUUUUUUCUUCUUAUAUAGUUGAUUUAAUUUUUAUGAUUAGCAUGUUUUUUGGUUUUAAGAUAUCUUGUUUGAUGCUAAUUCGAGGUUCAUGUGUUUGUAGAAAUUUGCAUGGGAACAAUCUUGUUUGAUUAUCUAAUUUGGCGAAUAUAAUGAACUAAUUCCACUUGUUUACUUCUAGAAAGAUUUUGUAACAGUUUUUAGAAAACUGUAAAAGAUAACAGUUUUUGCCACGCUGGUACUAAACUCAAACUCUUUAGGUUGUUUUCAUUCUAUACUUUACUGAUCGACUCAUGAGUACUUUAAUGUGUUAGCUACUUGAACUUGGUAGACAUGAGUUUUAAUCCUAUAAUCUGUUUAUAAAUAUAAGCAACAUAGUUAAUGCAUUAUCAAAUUAAUAAUGUAACAUUUUGUUAUUGUCACUGUUGAUACAAAAAGUGUUACAAUAAUGUUUACAUCUUGUGACACUUUUUGAAUGUUAAGAGAUAAUACUAUAAAGUGUAAUAAACCUCUUUUGUAAGAGGGGCUUUACCUAACAAUUGUUCAAAUGUUACUAAAUUGAUUUAGUAACUUUUUUCUUCAUUUAGUAGCAAUUUUCAAGUGUUACUAGAUCUCAAUUAUGUUGUUGUGCAUGAAUGGAGAAACCCUCAGCAGGAGCUUAUAAGCAUUUUUCUUGAUUUGUAUAGUUUACAUACACAAAUAAUGGCUUCCUUAUUUUUCGUUAUUGUUUCUCAUUUUCGUUUUACUUCAAGAUAUGGAUUUAAAAUGCUUUAGGUGACUUUGUAUAUUGCAAAAAUUUCUUGAUUGACCUUAGUGGUGCCAUUUCUUUCUAUUUUAGUCUGGAAGACCCUAACGGUUAGGUAUGUUCACAUUACGACAAUUAAAUGGCAUCUAAUCGAAGAAGAUUGUCGAAGCAAACAUCUGAUUUUGGGUUAGAAGCAUGGAAUUAAUGGGGUUAAUAGUUGGUUUGUUCAUUAUAAUCAUUUUCCUUGUGAUAUUAACAUGUCUUACUUUAAAAAAGAAAUCCAAGAGUCAACGGCAUGAAUCUAAAAAAACACCAAAUGUCAAUAAAGACUUCAGAAAGAUUAAAGGAUGUUAGAAUAAGAUCAAAAUCAUUUCAUGGGAACUACAAAUAUUGAAGAACAAGAUUAAUUGACCAAGAAAAUAUGAGAUUAUAAGUUGAUCCAUGUUAAUUUUAGGAACAAAUUUCUUCAAUGGAAAGAAACUUCAGAAUAGACAUCUCAAAGACUUCAGAUUGCAUAUCAGAAUAUCAAAAACACUCUAUAAUGGCUAAAAGAAGAAGUUCAAAAUUGCUAUUCAACAUUGAUUCUCAUCUCACAAGUUAAGAUCAAGCUUUUUGAAGUAAAUAAUGGAAAUCAAAUGUACUUGAGAUACAAAUCGGGUAUAUUAGAAUUUUAAGUGAAGGGAUACAGAGGAUUGAAGAUCGAAAGAUCAUAAGAAAAUCAGAAUGAUACCAGAAGCAGAGAUUUGGAAAAUACCAAACAAAUUGAUGGAAGAAUCAGAAUCAAAUCGGAAAAAGAUCGAAAACAGAAAAUCAAAAUUGCUUGAAAAAUAUCAUAAUCGUAUUUCAAGUUGAGUUUCAUUAUCAAAUGUCAUAUAGCAAUCACAAAUACAAUCAAGCCUCUUGCAUAUCUUUGGAACAUCUUUUACAUGAUAUUUGAAAAGUUCAGAUUCACCUUUGAGUGUUCAGAUUGAACUUUGAUAAAAAAAUGUUCAGAUUCACCUUUGUGUGAUCAAUUUUAACUUAGAGAGAAAGAGAUAAAGGUUAUUGUGAGAUCAAAUUGAUCAAAUGUUAAGAGCAAGAUCACAAAAAAAUUAUGUAAUCAGUUCUAAAGCUUCACUAAUCCUCUUUAAGGUAUAAAGACGGAUUGUGUGGUAGUUAAAGUCUGAAGAGAUUGUCCAAAACUUUUACGGUCGGGUAAACCAGAAAUUAAGAGAAAGUUUGCAGAAUCUAAAAGGGCAUCUCAAACACCAUAUUGAAAAAUAUCAUAGUCUGUGAGACGUAGACUAGCCCAAUUAGGGUGAAGCAGUAUAACUUAUUUGUGUCAUCUACUCUAUCCCUUAACUCCUUUGUUUGAUAGUUCAAAAGUAAGUACAACCGUCCAAUCUCUUCUUAUAUCAAAUUCAUUUUGAUACAUAUUUCAGAUCACCAGAUUUGAACAUCUUUUCAUGUUUGAGAAGCAGCCAAAAUUUUCAAAGGGUGACAAUCCAAAAACCCUUCCUUGUGACCAUUAUUCUUACAUCACAGAGGACCAUUCAAUCAAGAGAAUAUAAUUUUUUUUACUUUGUUUCCAAUAAAGAUACAAAUUUGGAGGGAAAAAAAAUGAAUAAACCUAACAAAAUUUAGUUGAAGCCAAAGAAACACACUUGCAAAAGAAAAUAGAAACUGAAAUUGUAAAGUAAGAAGAAGAAAGAAACAAUCAACAACAGUGAAACCUUCAUUUCUCAUGUCCAGCUCUUGCAUUUUCAUAUAUAGUAACAGCUUCUUUCAUCACCUCAUCUUGAGAAAGCAAUUUUGCUCUUUUUUGUCCUGAUGGAUGAGUACUGAAAUAAUUGAGAAAAGAAUCGCCGAAAAUUUUUCCGAACUUCUCAUAGACUUUAGGUGCCACCCGGGGAUCAUAGCCAGCCGAUGCAAGUAAUAGAAGCCGAAUGUAAUCAGCUUCAAUUUCUUGUCUAAAAAUAGUGAAUAAUGAUAUUACAAUCAUUCAUCACAUAUAGCUUAAAAGAACACAAUUUCCCAUUUCAACAUGGAAAUAUUAGCUUAAUUGCACUUUUGUGAAAAAUUAUUGUUGAUGUAUCCAGAAAGAAAGUUAAAAGGAAGCACAACCAGUAUUGAAAAAAAUUACGAACACAUUUCAGGAAACCUUGGGAGUUAGGAACAAGUUUGUCAAAAUAAUAUUUUGAUUUAGAUCGAAAGAGGUUAGCAAGAUUGCAAAACCUAAAACCGCAACCAAAAUUGAAGGAUUCUACUCAAUUGAUAUUGUAGAAUCCAAAGGGGACGGCAUGAUCGCAAAAUCGAAGAUCGCCACCAAAAUUGAAGGAUUUUACUCAAAUAAUAUUAAAUAUAUACUAUAAAGUGCAUAAACUACUUAAAGUUUAAAAUCUUAAAGCAAUCGUAAAACAACCAAUUCUCAGAUAUUAAAACAUAAACAACUGAAAGUCAAAUUUUAAACAUAAAACAAACUACAAAACUUAAACAUAAAUGACUCAAAGUCCCAAAUCUCAAAUAUAAAAUAACCAAGCCCACAUAAUAUUCAAAACCUAGAUGCUACAAGCAUACAUCGCAUCACAAACACACUAAUAUUCAAACGGAUUUUGCAUAGUUUACGGUUCAAAUCGGUAAGGCAUCAGAAAAUCGCAAAAUCAUUGGAUUUUAGGAUUCUGAUGAGGAUUUUAACAACAAUGGUUAGGACUAACUCACACUUUAACAAGAAACAAAUGUAAAUGAAAAACUUCAUAUACAUGUACCCAGUGUGUAUAUGUUACAUGCUUCAAAAUGAGAUUCAUUAUGGUAAUAAGAUUUAUAAAUUUCAAAUUGGCUAGAAUACUUUGAACCUAGUACACACAAACAUACAUAAUGUUUCUCACUCAAUAAUAUCCUAUGAGUUUAUCUCAAAUACAUAAAAUAUGUUAAGAUUUUAUUACUAAAUGUAAUUAACUUCAUUGAAUUACAUGUUUUCUUUUCAACAAACACGCCAUAGUGGUUUGUUCUUUAUAUGAAAUGCUAUCAUGACGGCAUUCCUAAAGCAUGGAACUGAUACAUUAUGAAACGAUUGCACAUUAUGUGACAAGUAAUUGGACUGCUGGGAAUAAAAGGACUGAAUUCGCUUCAUAGUAAACAUAAAAUAGGCACCAAAGACGGUGAAUUUGAAGGGCAAGUCGAAAGGAAUUCCUGAUAGGAACCUUACUUUUGGUAUAUGGAAAGUGAGUGUUAUGGAUUUGGUACUGGACAAGGUUACUGGUUUGAAUUUGUGUGCAGGUUUAGUGAAAAAGGAGUUAGACUAGAAAUAUAAAGUAGAGAAAGAUAAAACUAUUACUUCCUGCUUGUUAGUAAUAAGUUGUUUGUAUUUUUCUUCUUUGCUUGGGUUUGAACCCGGGACCUCCAAAUCCUUUAACUCCUAGCUCAAAGCAGUUGAUAUACUAUACCUGGGACCUGGUAGAGUCAGUGAUAUUGUUUGCAAAUGCAAACCAUGGCGAAAAUCCAAAAUAUUGACAUGGCCGAUAUUUGACAACACUGCGUAGAAUAACAAAAAACCUGCUGAGAGGUAUGAGAACUCCACCUACAAACUAAAGUUACUUCCGGUUUUGAAGCUCCAUCUAGUAUUCCAUGUCUCAGGAAAGGAAAAAAAAGGGCACUGGGAAUUAUAUUGUUGAGGCUAAAUAACGAGAAACAACUUUGGCUAGUAGGGGGAUCAUAAAGGUCUGUGGUAAAGAGCGGCGGUACUUAGUUUGGUGGAAAAUCUUGGUUGUUGAGGUUUCUACUUGGAAUUUUGCCACAAUCUAUGUUACGAUCACACAAUUUACAAUUCUAACUUUCUCUCCCAUGUCCAAAAAAUAUCUUGAUUUUGACACAAAUUAUCAUAAUAUUCUGUACAAAAUGUUAUACGAUUCUAUAUGCUAUCAAAGAUGUCUCUGAAAGAUGUCAACUGUCAAGCAUUUGGAAAUUGUUUGCUAUCAAAUGCCUCAUGAAAGGUCACAUAAUGAAUGCCUUUUUUUACGGAUGAAAAUUCCCAGAUCAGAUUAUUUGAAACCAUUUUAAUCAAGUAGAUAAGGAAGGAAUCAUUACCGUCUCGAGAAAAGAAGCAUUAUGGAACGCGCUGCUAUUAAGUUGACAAUAAGAGACGCGCUGUUUAUUUUAGAAAACACUUAAUUAAGUAGAUAAGGAAGGAAUCAUUACCGUCUCGAGAAAAGAAGCAUUAUGGAACGCGCUGCUAUUAAGUUGACAAUAAGAGACGGAAAAGAGAUGAAAGGAAGUAAUAUCAAUUGUUGGAUGAUAAAAAACAUAUAGUCUGUCUGGUCCUCAGCUGCAUGUCUAGCAACAGUAUGUCCAACCUAAUUAUCAAGCUGAAAAAUGUUAGAUUUAUGUCUUAAAUAUAUUAAAAUGCAGAAAUAUAUAGCGGCCUUGUUUGAAUACAUAACUUAAUUAAGUGUUUUCUAAAAUAAACUAUCCAAACAACUUAUUCAAAUGUCAUACAUUCUUUCUAGAAUCUCUAUCAAUCAGUCUCAUAAGUGCUUAUAGAAGUAGAUAAAUUUAAUUAAGUCAAUCCAAAAAGUUGUAUUAAUGAGUUAAACAAAUCAAUCCAAUACCUCAUGUGCAAUAAGAGUCGCUAAGUCAUCACUGGUUAAAAGCUCAAGCAAACCUGUAAAUACCAUUACCUUCCCAUUAGGAUAGGAGUAGGCAUUAGCAAUAGUGUUGUCAUUCACCACCAAAAUACCCCAAUUCAAUCCGUCUAAAUGCGACGUACAAGGCUGAUGAGACUGACGUUGAUUCGCCUUUUUCCUACUCUUCCCUAAAUCAUCACGCCACAUAUUCUUUUUACUCAAGUCUCUCUUCAAUGCAUCAAAAAUACGAUUCGCUAUCAUCCUCACUCUCACACUUUCAGGGUGUAUUUCAGGCAAUAAAUCCUCCUUAAAAUCUAACUUCUUAUUUUCAAAACUACUGUCCCCAGCCAUCCUAUCUCGCGCAUUUGACCAAAGAAGCAAAUGUUUUCGCUUAGUGUAAGGAACAUUUUGCAAAUUUCCAUAUUUCACAGUAAUAAGAACACCUGAACCAACAACUAGUACAACGAAAACACAUCGAUACACAUUGUAAAUUAUCUUAAAUUUGUCGUACUAUUCUGUUGAAAACAACCCUUUGUGCUGCCUAAUUUCUUAGAAUUGAAAUACCGGGAUAUGAAAAUUCUGGAAUUUUGUGAUGAAACCCUUGAAGAAAAUGUAUGAAAACUAUCAAGAAGAAGUUUCCCCCUUUUAUACAACCCCGCCAUGAUUUCUGAUAGAAUAGAAAUGUUGAGAAUCAGAGAUGCUGAUUAUGAUGGGAUCUUCAUAACAGAUGUGCACGUGGAAAUGUGAUUUGCAUUCAAUAAUUAAAAAUAAAUAGAAAAGAAAAUAACUCUCUAAAAAGAGACAAUAACUCUCACUUUCCCAUCUGUCUCUCCUCAAACACUUUCCUAUCUAUUUGCGAACAAAUUCACUCUCAAAAUCUUUUUUUUGAAGAAGCUAAACUAACCCCCUCAAAUUGGCACCAGAGAUUCGAACCUGAGACCUUGAGGAGGAGCACACUCCCAGGUCCCAAGUGGGUUUUUGCUCUCAAAAUCUCAUUGUCCUCCUGUAAGAGAAUCGAUGGAGGCAUCAGAGGCUGCAACAAUUUGCAAGCAAAACUUGUCUCGUCUCGAUGGAGAAUUAAUCGGUGGCUGCAACUAUUGAAAAGGUCAGCAAAUAUAUACGAGAUGAUAUUGCCUUAUCAAUUCUAUCAAAACUUCUUCUAAAAUCUUGGAUGUGUUCGCAAAUCAUGAUCUCUCUUGUUUCAAAACCCAUGUUACAAAACGAACAAAAGAACAUCGUAGAGAGAUGGAGGAUGACGCUCUCAUAUCUAAUUCCAUUUCUUUAUCAUGGAAUAUUUUUUUAAUUGUUUCUGUCCUGUUAUUAUUUUCUUUUGCAAGUGAUUUACAUGCUACUCAAACUCUGCACAAUUUGAGAGCACAAAAGCUUAGUGACAAGAACAUUAUGCGAAAUUUGAGAUUGAUAGAAAAUUUGUAAAAUAGUACUAUUAGGACAUUGUAAAAUUGAUACAUAACGAAUUGGCUUUUUUGGGCAAGAUACAUUAUGAAUUGUAGUUUCAUUAUAAAACAUUUAUCUCUGUAAUUCGGUUUGUAACUCUUUUUAGAUAUAUUGAACAUCAACAUAUGGAAUUUAAGUUUCACACGAUCACAAUAUAGAAGACAGUUUGAGGGUGUUUGCAAGCAACACAUGUUUAGAAUUUUUUUCUAACUAUCCCAAUUGAUGAGUUAGGUUAGCAUAUGUCACCAGUGGAAUAUUGUACUCUCUUUAAAUAUCGCCUUAUGAUUCCACAAUUUUCUAUUAAUGUGAGGUGUCCUGUUUUGCCGUAGACGUGCUUGAAUACUUUGGGAAUACAGUUCAUUGUUAGGAGCUUCCCGGCUUUAAGUACAAACAUGAAUUAGUUAUAUGUUUUUUGCAGUUCUAUUGUUUCAUUCAAAAGAUUAAAUUCUUGUUAGGUUGGUUUAGAUGAAGGUAUUGAAGUGUCAAGGAAUGCACCUCAUUCUUUUGACACUUAAUACCAUCAUUUAAACCAAGCCUAACAAGAAUUUAAUCUUUUGAAUGGAACAAUAGAACUUCCGGGUGUAAGUUUGAGAGCUGUCUUUUAGCUAGUUUAAAUUUACCAUUUCAGAGGUGAGACAAUUGUUGUAGUUUGAAGGUAAAACCUGAAUGUAAUGUAAUGUAAUGACAUGACAUAUUUAGGAACUUUAUGUAUUGUAAUGUAGUUUCAAAACAACAUGUAUUAUGCAUAAUCAUCUAUAUAAAUUAUGAUAUCGAAUUCCUUCAUAUAAGAUGAGUGUCACGAAAUGCACCUCAUUCUUUAUGUGAUGACUCGUCUUAUACGAAGGAAUUUGAUGUGAUAACAUAUAUAGUUGAUAUACAUGUUGUUUAUGUAAUGUAAUGUAACUUUUAUUCGAAUUUAUUCAAUACGCAACUUUAUUUGAAUUCACGCUGAGUUUAAUUAAUCUUUUUUUCGAUUUUUUUAAUACGCAACUUUAUUCGAAUUUAUUCAAUACACAAUUUUUAUUCGAAUUGCUGAAUUUAUUCAAAUUUAUUUAUUCGAAUUUAUUAUUCAAUACGCAAUCAUAAAAUAAAUGCAAAAAUUAACAAAAAUAAAGAAACAAAAAUAAUAGAUAUAAAAUAUCAUUUUAUUAAUAUAAUUCUUAUUACAUUUACAAUGGGGUAAAACUAAAUAUGCGAAAAAAUAAAAACCACCAGAAAACCUAGCUUCCGGUGUAAAACUAAAAGAAAUCCACAAGAAAACCAGCCUUCCUGGGGUAAAUCUGCACACUUAGUUUUACCCAUUCUGGUUCUUUUUUUCCCAAGAAAGUUGCUCACUAAUCAUCAUUUUAUCCCCAGAGAUGACCUUUUUCUCUUUUUACACCAAAAUAAAGAAGGAACAUAAUGAAAUUCAUAGGGGGAGAGAGUGAGGAGUAGAGUGAGAGAAUGUGAGAUGGUGUGAGGAAAUUGAGAAGUUUGGAGGGGUAUUUAUAGGUGGUUUAAGGUAACAUAGCACUUAAUGAGGUCAAAAAACGUGAAAAAACUUCAAAAAAAAAAAAAAAAAAAAAAAAAACGUGUAAAAACCCUUAAAAUGCAUUGACCACCGUCCAAAAAACGUGUAUUCUUGAGCUCUAACCACCGGCCAACUUGCGUGAAUUAACUCGCGCACAUGCCAGUGGUGCAUGACUUAAGUCACGCAGAGCUUAUAAGGUGCGUGAGUUAAGUCACACGGCGUGACUUCACUCACUCAAGGGGGUAUAAUUGUCCAAACAGUUUGGUGCGAGCAAAAAUUGCUGGAAGAAGAGCAAAAUUAUAAGAAAAUAACAUGAUUAUUGCUCUUUAGGCACCAAGUGAUUGCUCCCAUGCACCCACCAAACUACAAUUAACUAUUGUUUGGCUCUUUUGAGAUGGGUUUAGAUACAACUUUGCUCUCCAUCGACGAACUUCCAACGCCAUAAAGUUCAAGUCGCAGGUACAUAACUAACAUCACAUUCGAUAAAGAUAAUUUAUUAAAUGGUAACCUCAUCUCAAAUUCUAAUUAAGUGAGAGAUUUAUCUUGUUUGUAUUUAUUGUAAGUGAUACAUGUGAUGUGAUACAUUCAUGGUUGAUUACGAUAAAAAUUAACUUUUUUUUAAUAGAAAGCUAUUCAUCUUUUACAUAUUAAGAAAUAUGCAAAACGUACAAACUCUGGGUGAUAAUUACUCUAAUCAAAUGUAAAUAAACCACUCUUUACUUGAGAAGUAAUAAUUUAAAUUAUUUAUAUAUGUACUACCUUAGAUACAAUACAACUGUUAUUUUUAAAAACGGUGAUAUGUUGAUAGAAAGUUUAAUUUAUGAUCACAAUUUUAAUGUUCCUUACAUGGGUUCCAGCGAAACUUCUCUUCAUUCUAAUACUUUUUUGACACAUACAGUCUGUAAUUGAUAAUCUCAUCUUAUAUUUUAGAUUGGUGAGAUAUUGUCUUGUCUGUAUUUCUCAAAAGUAACACCGCAAUGCAUGUGAUACAAUUAAGACUGAGUAAAAUGAAAUUUGUCGUUUUUCAUCAGGAUGAUCUUAGUCAUAUCUCUUUACCUAUGUUAUUUACUAAAAAGUAAACUUUUCAAAUCUAGUAAAAAUGGACUAUACACUUAUUUUUCAUCUUUAAAGAAUUGUGGAUCCUAUUUCAACACAAGUUCCUUUAGGAUAUUUGUUAGCAUGACCCAAUCAAAUAACAGGCAAACCAUGAACAAAAGACUCUUGGAAAGCACACAUGUUUAGGCAAGUUUUAGUUUGCUUAAUAGAUUGAAUAGUUUUGUCAAGAAAAAAUUGAUUGGUUAAUCAAUACAAUUGGUAGUUACAAUGAAUUUUCUAUUUAAAAACUUUUCACGCGCAGUUGAAAUCUCAACUUCCUUAUAUAUAUUAGCGGAAAGACGGACACGAUUUCUACUGCGCUAACGCAUGUGAUUAUUUUAUUAUGUUUGUUUGUAUAAUUUUUAUUAAAAUUUUGAAAUUUCAAAAUAUUAAUGGAAAUUAUUGAUAUAUUGGUUUAUAAACAAAAUAUUGUCAAUGCGUAUAGCAAAAUUAUUUUUGAACUCAACAUAUUUUAGUUUGUCUGCAUAUAAAAUUAAGAUAAAAUAAUGAUUAUUUAGAGUUUAUUCUAAUAGUAAUUAGUAACAUCAUAACAUAAAUGUAUAAAUGACAUGUUAUGUAAAAGAAACAUUGUUAUAAUUACGAUAAAAGAAUAUCUUUAAAACUACAUUUUUCGUAAAGUCUCCAUCUUCUCCUUCUAUUUUUCUUUAUUUAAUGAGAACUUUGGUUAAAUUUUGAGAAACUCAUCUUCAUAAAGCUACAUAUAAAUGACCAUUCAUGAAAGAUAGAUUUAGACAUUGAGAAUGGUAUGCCCUUGUGACUUAUUUAUGGUAAUAGCAAAACUUAGUCUAACGGGAAACUGUUUUCUACUAAGCACAAAGGGAAGUCUUGAACUCGCAUUUGUUUUUAAUUUAAUUAUGGGCAAGAAUGCUCUUUUUCAAGCAUUGCUUCCCGUUAGGAUUUCCACAUUCAACAUAUUCUUAAAUAAAUUACGACAUAACAUCCGUGUCCUAUUACACAGACCAUAUCUAGGGUUUAUGUUUCGCAACAACAUCAAAGGUGCACCUUUUUUUACCUUUAAAAUAUGUGGUGGGAUACUUACUUGAGUAAUUGAGUCUAAGAAUUCCGGUUGAUAUGGUAGUGUAGCCACUUGUUUCUUUCUACCCUAUUUAUUUGUCUUUAAUCCACCGGUUCUAUUUCCACUUCUAUUUGAUUUUUUUUCUUUUCUAUUGUGAUUACGAAUUAUGAUAUUACUCCUCACCUAUGAAUCACAUACACUCCUCACAUUAGAUGUGUCUGAACACGUGUUGCAUCACCGUCCACAAAUAUAAUUAACCUAAAUUAUGUGAUUUUCUCAAAUUAUAACGUCAUUGGCGUGUCAGUAUUCAUGAUGUAUCUAGUGUCGGUGUUCAUAUCCAUACUUCUUAAUCAACGGUCCUCUCUUAAUGGUCUCUAAGAUGGUGGUUUGAAUGUAACCAAAAACAGAAGAUGGUGGUUUGAAGUUUUAUAGUCUUUCUGUUUUUAGUUGUUGGUAAGAUGAGUGUGAUUAUGGUUUAACAAUUUUGAAUUGUUUAAAUGAUUUUAACACUUUCAUUUCACUGUAUUUUGUUGGAUAUUGGAUGGGGGCCAUGGGAGCAGUUUAUCAAUUGUAUACAUGCAGAACGACACGGGAAGGAGCUUAACGGCAGGGGAUGUUAUUUCUUAUUUUCCCUUUAUUUAAUAAUAAUUAUAAAAAAAAAAACCACGGUUCUCUUUAUAUAAAAAAAAAAAAUCACGUUAUCAUAGUUUGUAUAAGCAAUUAUAAAUCAGCAAAGUCAAAUAAUCCUCAAAAUUAAUCGUAAAUAAUUUGAAUCAUAAUCACUUAUAAACCAGCAAAGUCAAAUAUAAUGCAUAAAAUUAAUUGACUCAUGAAGGAUUUAAAGUCCAAUCUUUAAUAUUAUUUUUUGCUCAUGUUUGUUACUAAUAUUUUUUUUUAGAGGAUUUAAAGUCCAACCUUUAACAUUAUUUUUUUGUCACGUUUGUUACUAAUUUUUUUAUAGCAUUUAAAGUUCAAUCUUUACCAUUAUUUUCUGUUCACGUUUGUUACAAUUGAUCAAAGGCUAAGGAAGGAUAACAUAAUAAAAUAAUAUGGAAAUACUAUUUUUUGUGGAAGUAGUAAAAUAAUAUGGAAAUAUUGUUUUUUGUGGAAGAGAUAUGAAAAUACUUGGCAAUCUUUGUCGGUUGUAUUGGGGGGAAAAAACACAUAUGUACAACAUAAAAUCGACCGAUAAAAAAGUAACAUGACUUUUAGUUUUGUGCUAGUUUUUUGUGAGUUUGAUCGUAGACGAUUAGUGACAUAGAUUAGUAAUCCACGUGUUAUUUUAUAAUUGGCUAACAAUAAGAACAGUUCAUAAAGAAUUGUGUGUAAGUUUUCUUAUUAAAUAAAAUUUAUUCUUAUCUAUUUGUUACACGUGUUAUUUGUAUUUAAAAUUAAAAUUAAAAAUUAAGGGUAUUUUUGAAAUGAAAAGUCCAACCCAAAAGUGUGCUGAAAUGGAUAAUUUUCUUUAGAUAUAGUAUAGAUUAAAACAUGAAAAUAUGUCGUAUAAGUUAAUUGGUAGGAUUAAUGCAUAUAUAUAUAUAUAUAUAUAUAUAGGUUUGAUUUCGAUCCUAGAAUUUCACACUUAUUCGAUGAAAUUAUAACCAAUAUAAUUAACAAAAAAAUUGAAACAAACAGCUUUAUACAUAUGACACUCAUGCCUUAUACUCCCUCCGGUCCUUAUUAUAAAAAGAGUAGUGAUACAUAGAUCACCUUAGAUGGCAUGUACCACUUAUACACCCAUACACAAUUGUGACAUGUGUCCAUGUGGUCCCCACAUACACAAGAAACUCACAUUCACACACUCUCACAUGGGAGUGGUACAUAGUGUGUAUGCAGAAAAGGGUGUUCAUGAAACAUUAUCCUUAUAAAAAACAGUUGACUUUUACGUUCAUUAAAUAUUUAAUGUAUCUCGUUAUAAAUAUAGAUUAGAUAUAUCACAUACACAAUGAAUCUAAAAAGUCAAUUGUUUCUUAUAAUAAGGACCGGAGGGAGUAGAUUUCUAUUAAAAAAAAAAAGUUAAUUUUUACUAGGUUUAUUGAAUAUUUAAUUAAAGUUAAGAAGUUAAAAAUGGAAUUAAUUAAUAAAUGCACAAGUUAAAAAUAUAAAAUUUAAAGUUUUCAAAAUUAAAAAUACACAAUUUUCAACAUUUAAUUUCUACUUUUGAUUUCUUAUCUUGUGCCCAAGUUAGCAUUUUCCUUAAUUAAUUAAUUAAAAAUGAUACCUCCGUCCCUAAUUAUAAGACUACUUACAAAAUAGGGUUUGUCCCUUAAUAUAAGGUUAUCUACAAAUUUCAUGAUGCAUUUAUUAUUCUUUUUCCGACUAUAACCUUAAUUAAAAGUUAAUAUUAAAUAUAUCUAUACACAAUGGACAAUUUGGUAAUAGAAAUAUAUACCUCUUUAAAAUGGAGAAUUAGUUAAUUAAUAUAGACCAUUUACUUAAUUAAAAAUGAUACUCCCUCCGUCCCAAAUUUUGAAUAUUAAAUAACUUAAUUAAUAUGAUAAAUUACUUAAUCAAUAUACAUCAUUUACUUAAUUAAAUGUAUCAUGAAAUAUGAAAAGUUGAUACUCUCUCUAUCCCAAAUUCUGAAUAUUUUGUAUAGAUCAUUUACUUAAUUAACCUUUUUAAAUUUAAUUGUCGAGGAGCCCUAUGGGCCCACAUAUACCUCUUUCCCAAUGUAUAUAAUACAUACUUUGUGACUUUCUUCUCUUUCUUUUACAAAGUUUUUUUUGUUAGUUUUACACUUGUGACAUUGUAUUUGACCAAUGAGCAAUGUCAUCAAUAUCACCAACCACACUGUCACCCAAGAGUUAUCCCCGGCCAUAGAGUGCUUAAGAUUAAAGUUUCAAACAAGCACAAGACAUGGAUUAUUUGGAGCAGCUACUAAUCAAGUUUCUUAUUCAAUUAGAAAGUUAAACACUUCUAAUUUAAGCUAUUGUUUACACCAUAUGUUUCUAAACUUGUAAACACCAAACAUUUCAUUGUUACAACAUUGUAAACACACAGAGACUAACAUAACAUCUAAUUUCCACUUUCACAACCAUAAACCAUUAAUAUAAUAAUGUUAGGUUACAAGUUUAGAAACAUUCCACAUUCACUCAAAUUUCAAACAUUGUUAUAAAUUCUAAAUAAGGAGCAUACAUAACAUGUAUCCUAAAUCUACUUGCUACAACCAUAUCAGAGCUACAUUUAACCAAAUACCUACUGGUACAUAAUAUAACAAUUUUUCUUAUAGUCAGAGAAUCAAAUGGAUACUUCAUCUCAUCGGUCAAUAAUUCUAAGAAUCAAUGAGUCAAGCAUGAGCAUCUUAAUGGCUAGGGUUAGACAUGCUCAUCAUCCGCAGAUGAUGAUGAGUUGCCAGAGCCUUGGCCAUUGCCGAAAGAAGCGAAGUUAAAACCUGCCGGUGACAUGAUAGGCUUCAUUCCACCAAUAUCAGUUCUCAAUUCUUCGGCAGAAACAUGAUUGUUAAUAUGAGAUGAUGUAGGAGGGGCAGUUGGUGCCGAAUGAUCGACCCUCUGCCUCUUUGGAUUCUCCUUCUCUGGAAAAAAACUCGCAACCACAACCUAAUGCAUAAACAAAGAGGGAAAAGUGCUCAGUCAAAUGUAACUAAUAAACUUACCAAUAUAUAGAUACAAUAUUUUUCUAACCAUUUUCUUUUAGAAUUUUUGAAAAUAGAUCUAACAUUUUCAGAAAUCUAGAAAGUGUCGAAACACUGUUUUCAUUGUUUACGAAUAAGGAUUCUUCCUAUGUUCUAUAUCAGAAUUGUUCACUAUAUGAGUUUUUCAUCACCAUUUUAUUAAUUUAAAAUGAAAACAGGUUUUAGAAAAUGAAGACUGAAAAAUGUUUUUAGAAAAUCUGCAGACCCUUAGUUUUUUUUCAUUUAAGUAGUAGUUGAUAGCAUUGCAUAAAAAUAAUGCAUGGUCGAAAUUCCAAUCAUCCUUACCAUCAUCAAUCAGCACCAGUGUUAUUUCCUUUUAUAACAAAGGUUAAUUAAAAUGCUCUUAUUAACGAUUUUUCACGAGCUAUCUAGCAACGACAGUUCAGAUUGAAGGCGUGUUCGGUGUCAGACACAACACCGACACAUGUAAUUGCAUUCAAUUAUUCUAUCUUCUCAAAUUAUUACAAGUGUUGACUUGUGAGUCCCAUGUCCACAUCCACGUCAGUGCUUCAUAGUUCACAAGUUUUUUCUAAUAUUCUAUCAGAUAUCUAUAUUCUUCUAAAAUGAAACAAAAGUUACCUGCACAGAACCAGCAGCUACCAGCAAACCAGCCAGUGCACCCCCAAAAACACGACCAUUUGAACCUGCCAGUGAGACACUCAUUCUACCAGAUCUGCUCUUUGUCAAUCCAUUCUCGGUUGGCACAAAUGAGCCGCUCAAGGAAAGAAUCUCGAAAACUCCCUGUAAAAGCACAAAAUAUGUGUCACCCCAUUUUAUUUGAUGGUUUCAUCUAGUGUUAUAAUUAAGAAGAUCCGCAAUAAUUUAAGAGUGUGUUCUUAGCAUUUCUUAGUAGGAAAAUAGCAGUGAAUCAACUCGGUGUGAAGUUAGAGCAAAUUAAUGGCAAAUAAUUUUGAAUCAAAACAGAAAUUCAUAACAUGAAAGAAGUGUUAUGUUUGAUUAUACAAUCACUUUCCCUUUGAAUUGUUGCAUGCCACAAGUACAACACAAUGUAGCACUGACACUUAAGAUUGAAGAUGUGUUCGGUGUCCAACACGCAUAUGUGUCUGACAUUGGUAUGACACCGGCACAUAUGGCUACAUUCAAUCACUUUUACUAUAUUAAAUUAUUACCCAUGUCGGUGAAUGUGGUUGUACUUCGUAGGUCAUAAGCCAUAUUUACAAGGGACAAUCAUAAAAAGUAUUGAAACUAUGGAGAUUCUUUCAAACAAAGGGAUGGAAUUAUAUCAAAACAAUGGAGCAUAAAAGACCACUUAGCACAUAUAUAAUAGGACACUUCAAAAAAACAAACCCAUGGACUUGCCCUCUAAAAAAUUCACAUUUGAUAUCUAAUGCAUACAAUGGCAGAAAUAGAAGGCUUUGUAUAACCACACAUGCAUUGUUGUUAUACUUAAAUAUCCGAAUUAAUGUUAAGUUUUAAACAACAAUGAACUUCUUUAUAUCAGUGCUAAUGAAAUAGGAAUGAACUAACCUCAUACGUUGAAGUACCGCCACAAGCAUCCGACUGGCGAAGUGUUACAUUCGAAAUUGUGCCAGUCGCAGACAGAAUGGAUAUAGUAUGAUAUUCUUGUUGAGAAAGAGACAUUAUUUUCAUCGAGACAUCCUAAAACAGGCCAUAGGAAAAUCAACAAUACAAUUAACAAAUAUAUUUGGGUAUUGAGUUGUACACAUCCAUACUAAUCUAAAGAAAGUACUACAGAGAAAAGGAAAGAAAAAAACGGAUCGGUAAUUCUGGUAAUAAAAAAAGCGGAUCGCAUUCUGCCUACUUUCACUUACACCUCACUCAAUCAUACUCCAACAACCUCUUUAUUAUUAUUUUAAGGAAAUUGUUUUCACGCUCAUUCCAAUUCCAAUCUCAUGCUUCAUAUCCAAUGGAUCCAAUCAUUGUCACAGUCUUGUGCUCCAUUAUUUCUCUUCAAACUUUUAUUUCGAGGAAUUCGAUCCCUAUCCGAGUUUAUCAUCAGUUUUCGUUGUGUUUUCAUAAUUCUAUAUCUUCCGUUAGUAGUAAGUAAUAGCAAUGGCGGAUUUGAUGAAGUGAUGUUUUCUUGUUUUUUUUUUUAUCUUCACAGGCUAUGUUUGUUUACAUUGAGUUGAUUUUUUUUGUUCAAUUUAUUGCAUUGAAAUACUAGGUUUUUCAAUUUGAACCUGUGUCAAUGCUAUUUCUCUUCAAACAUUUAUUGUGAAUAAUUCAAUCCAUAUCAUGUUUAUAAUCAGUUUAUGGUUGUUCUCAUUAUUCAGUAUUUGUCGGCGGUUCUCAUAAAUUGAUCAUAAACAGGAUAUGGAUCGAAGUCUUCAAAAUAAAACAUUUGAAAAGAAUAGCAUUGACACAGCUCCAAAUUGAAAAACCAAUUAAGUCCGUACAAGCAAAUUAAAAAAUAAAAUCAACUCAAGGUAAAGGAACAUAGCUACUAAGAUUAAAAAUAUAUAAAAAUCAAUUGGUUGAUCAAAUCCGCCUUGCUAUUUAUUACUUACUAAAAUUGUGAAAACACAACAAAAACUGAUGAUAAACAUGGAUAUGAAUCAAAUUUCUUGAAAUAAAACAUUUGAAGAGAAAUAGCAGAGCAUUAACAAAAGUUUACCGAUAUUAUUAAAACGAUUGUCUACAUUGUAUCUGAAGCAUGAGAUUGGAAUUGGAAUGAGCGUGAAAACAAUUAGCUGGAAAUGGUAAGGGAAGCGGCAAGGGAAAGGAGUUGGAGUAUGAUUGACUGAGGUGUAAGUGAAAGUAUGCAGGUGAGUUAGUAAAUGUGAGUGACGUGAUUAGGUCAACAUCUAGGUCUGGCCAUCACGCUCUCUGUUAAUUGCCAUUGCACUUUGAUUAUUGCCAAAAUUACCGGACCGCUUUUUUCUGGCAGCACAUAUAAAGAAGGGGAAAUAUCACAUUUAAAAAAGGGGUUUAUAUUAGAUGGUAAGAUUACAUUGUAUUCAACCCCACUGAUCACUUGCAUUGAACAAAAUGUAUUAAGUUUCAAUGAGUAAACAAAAAUGAUUAGCCAUAAAGCUUCUUCUGAAUAUGGCAUUCAAAUAAGUUUUUUGGAUAUAAUCUAACUAUUUUCAGACUAUAGGCUUAAAAGGAAUGAACAGAUUACCUCUCCAGAAUUUACAGUAAGCACGUGUGUUUUGAAAUUGGAACCAAAGGGUGAUAUUCCAUUAUCUACAAAAUAGUUCCAAAUGCAUAAAUCAUAUGAGUUAAUAAAUAACCAUUUUAUACAUUUUCACAAAAUGUCAUUAGUCUGUGUCCAAUUAUAUUAGCAAAAUAGAUUCACCCUGCUUCACUAAAUCAUAUGCAUAAAGACAAAACCAGGUGAUGCAUUAGACACAGAACUCAUCGAUGACUUGAAACAUCUUCAUGCAAUUAAAUGACCAGAUAAAUUAAAACUGUCAUUUUAUAAAACCAUUACAUUCUGCAAUGAAGAAUUCAUUUAAAGAUCUAAACAAUAAAAAAAAUUAAACAACUAGGAUGUAAGUAAAACUACUGAAUUUUCAAAUAUGCAAAUUCAACCAUCAUCCUUUUCACAUCACAGAUUAUACAAUUUUGAGUCCUUAUUUAGCAACGUGUCAUAAUACAAAGUCCAAACAAAGAUACUGCAGGACAAUUUUCAGACCAUUUAACACAGACACUAGACAUGACACUGACACUGACACAUCAACACCGGUAAAAAUUUGAAAAAAUGAAUUAACUAAUUGCAAUCAUGUGUAUCGUUUACCCCUGAUAAAAACUAAUCCCUUCCAUUAGCUCCAUUUCCGAAUCAAAUAAUAUCAGUUACCCUCGUAAAGGAAAAAAUAUCAUCAUCAAAUGUAUCAUGUGUUAAAUGAUCUGAAAACCGACCUCACAUUACUAUGACAGCAAAGUAUCCACACAUCUUCAAUUUAAGAUCUGAAAGGGAAUCUAAGCUAAGGGUCCACACAUUCCACUUCCAAACCAUGAAUCAAAUCAAAUCCAAAACAAAACAUAAACACACAUUCAAGAUUAGUAACUAACAAUUACUAUUUCCAACAAAUGUAAUAGUAAAACUAAAAAACAUAACAAAAACAAACAUAAUACAAACUAACUAACCAGAUCAAAGGCUAAAAAUAGCAACUUUUCUUUCUAAAAUUGUCAUGUACCUUCAUCAAAAUUACCUUCAUCAAAAUCAUUCAACUUCAAAGGCUUCUUAAUUGAUUCAAAUGGCUUCACUACACCUCCACCUCCACCACCACCACUUUUCCAACCUGAAAAAUCACCGGUCAACGGAAUGGAAGCCGAAAUUGGCAUCGGUGACAACGCCGGCUUACUUCCAGAUUCACUCUUUCUAGGCCUGCCCCUCUUCUUCUUCACCUCCACGCCACCGGCAACCGGCACCGGAGCCGGUAACUCUCCCGUGGACCCAGCAAAAUUCAACGUAUUUUGAGCUAAAUUGAAGCCAGGUGGGGCCUGGUUAACAUUAACAGCAUGCCCAGAACCAAAAAUCUCUCUUUCUUCCAUUUUUUCUCAGAAUCAAACCAAAACUAACACAACCCAAAAUCUAAAAAACUUCAAAAAUCAAAACUUGAAUGCAAAACUAAGAUACCCAGAAACACAAAAAUUUGUAACAACACAGAAAAGCUUCAAAAAUAUAAACUUUUUUAGAAAUGAUGAAAACCCAGAAGCAGAUUUUUCAAUUUUGAUGGAAAAAACUGAGAAAAACGUAACACUGUAGCUUAAACAUUCACCAUUGAAGAGAAAGAAAAAAGCUUCAAAAAUAAAAAUGAUUUUUUUUUUUUUUUUUGAAAAAAAAAUUGAAGUAAUACAGAGAAAAAACUACAACCCUAGUUUACAGAUUCUAAAGAGUGAUUUACGAGAAUUAGGGUUUGUAAGAAAAAGGUAGAGUAAAUAAAUAAAGUAGAAAACUAUAUAUAUAAUAAAUUAUAAAAUUAUUAUAAUGAAAAAAAUGAUAAAGUAAUUUUUUAGGUAAAAUAAUAAUUAUGAAAAAGUAAUUAAAGAAAAGGGAAUUAAUUAUUAAAUGAUAUAAUUUAAUUGGUGAAUUAAAAGAAUAAAUUUUGGUUAUGAAAAUGGUUCAUGUCCGUCUUGAAAAUUCAAUAAAGGUGUUUUAAUUUGUCUUGAAAAUUCAAUAAAGGCGUUUUAAUUUAAUAAAUGAAUUGAAUAUUAUAGUAGUAUAGUACUACUACUGGAUUUGAAUGCAUUAAAAUAAUAGGGAUAGUUUUGGAAAAGAAAGGAAAAAUGUUUAUUUUAAUAUAAGUUGUUGUUUGUUUAUUUAAUUCACCUUUUAAAAAAAAUCAAAAUUGUAAAGUUCGGUGGAGUUAAUGAACAUUAUUUCAAAUUCUGACAAGUUUUGUUUAGUUUUUUCAAUUAAAUCAAAGUUGUGAUAUGUAACCCCAAAAAAAAAAUAUUAAAAUUGACAAUAAAUGAAUAUUUCACCACAAAAAAAAAUAAGAAACCAAAAAAACAAAUUUUCUACGUAAAUUAAAGCUAUUCAUAUGUAAUCGACAAUCAAGAUCAACAGAAUAUGUCUUAAGACUCAGAUUCAACGAAUGUUAAUAUAUAUAUAUAUAUAUAUAUAUACAUACAUACAAAUCAUCUAUCGGAGAGUUUUGAUAAUCUUUUUUGUCCCUUUUUAUAAGACUCUUUUGGUAUUUUCAAUUACAUUAAAUAUUUCUUUACCACCAUACCCCUAUUUAUUUUGCAUAUUUUUCUUCAAUCAACCAUAAAUAUUAUAUUAAAAACAUAUACUAACUCUACCUUUAAGGAUAAAAUUGUAAAAACAAUACUACAUCCAUUCCUUUUUAAUUGUCACAUUUUGACAUUUUGCACAAACCAAGACAAUCAACAAUUGAUACUACUUUUAAUGUAAUAAGCUAUACUUUUACUAUAAUGACCUUAUUCAGUUAAUAUCUCAUUUCAUAUAUUUUUCUCUCCGCAAUAAAUAACUAAGGAUAAUAUUGAUAAAACAGCAUUUAACGUUGUAUUGAACUUUGAAAGUGACAGUUAAAUAGGAACAAAAAAUCUCUCCAAAAGUGACACUUAAAAAGGAACGGAGGGAGUAAUAUUUAUAAACAAAUUUAAUGCUAUAACCAACUUUCUCAAUUCCGGCAAUUUUGGAAAAAAAGGUUUUAUAAUUAGGACGGAGGUAGUAUGUUUUAAAAUCAUAUAUUCAAAUCCUUAAUAAUAUAAAACUGUUUUUUAAUGCAAAAUUUAUACUUUUAAAAUCUUUAUAAAUAUCCUUACGACAAGUUAGAAAUAUCCUUUUGAAUUUUUUUUGUUAGGUAUGUUUCCAAGUUUUGUAUUUUUUUCUUUUUUUUUAAUCUAUUUUAAAGCUUAUAAUAGAAAACCGUUUAAGAGUUUUAGAAAAAUAAAAUAAAAAAAUUAUUAUAUUAAAUUGAUUGAAUUGUCCUCCAAGUUAGGCGAAUCUACUAAAAAAUGCAUGCACCAACCUCCCUUUUUUUCUCCCACUGUUUUAGGUGCAUGAUGUUUUUCUUUUUUCCCCCUUUUUGCUUUUUUUUUUUUUUUUUAACAUUUUUGGGUUGACCGAAAUGCCUCUUACUUAAUAUCUACUCUUUCUUUUAUGGGAAAACCAAAAAAUUGAAGAUUUAAAAAAUAAAAGCAUGAAGACUUAAAACAUAAGAGUCUAUUAUGGAUUGUUAAACUUAUUCAUUCAAUAGAAGAGAGACUAUUAUUAUGGACGAAUUUCCAUAACAUAAACCAAUUUCAACUUUUACGUUUUCUUCCUUAAAAUAAAAACCUUACUUUUUCUUGUAAUUUAUUUUUAUUUAUAAAAUUUCUAAUGAAUGAUUGUAUUAUUUUUUUCACUAAUUGAAUGGAUUUUGAUUAAUAUACAAAUAGUAUAUGUUAACAAAUAUGAUAAUAUAAUAUUUAUGAAAGAUGUUAUUGAUGAUAUUCAAAAUAUUAGGAGUGUGACUCCCUAUGUCUCAGGUGUGUUUGGAUGGAGGGUUUAGGUGGGAGAAAAAGUGAAUGACUUACUUUUAAAAAAAAAUUAUAUACAAUAUAAACAAAAUUAAAUAAUUGAAAUAAUUACAUGAUAAAUGAUUAUAUAAUACUUCAAUCAAAGUCUUAGAACUUGGACAUAAAUCAAGUUUUGUAUGGAAAAUCAUAUUUACCGCUAAGAGAGUGGUACGAACUAGUGCUUGGUGGAAGAUUGGAUCGAGUCCGGAAAUUUUCAUUUUUUAUGCUCUGUGGUUAAAAGACGAGACUACGUAUUUCGGUAUAAGGUUAACCUCUCAUGAUGCUUCAAUAGACUAGAGUGCACACUCUGAUUACACGUAUGGAACCAUCAUUUGGUGAAUCAAUGUUGUGAUCAUGAUACGGCUGAGCACAUUUUGAAUACUCCUCUAAUCAAGUUAGUUGAAGAAGAAAAAUUAAUUUGGAAAGCAAUGAAGAAUGGUCAUUGUCAUACCCCAAAUUUUGACCACUUUUCUCUAUUCUUACCCAUUUUAUUCGUAUUUUUAAAGUCGGGAAUUUUCAUCAUUUUUGACGAAAUUUCGGUAGAGAUGUUACUUUGAAGUACCUCAUUUUUUGAUUCCGAGUCAGGCCCUCUUCCCUCUUUGUUUUUUUUUAUUUCGGUAUUUAAUUUCCACCUUUUAUUAGUUUUAAUUUUAGUUUUGAUUUUAAAAUUAGUUACUCUUUUUUAGUUUAUUUUAUGUUUUUGUGUUAUAAUGUCAAUGAGUCCAAAAAAUCCCAGCAAGGGUCCAAAAAAUAUAUUUUUUUCAUACGCCUCAUAUUCAGGCAGAUAGGCAGAUUCAUAGGGUCAAAUUUUUGUUUCCAAAACCAGUACAUGGUUGCUGUUUCUGCAACUUGUUUCCUUUUUCUCUUCAACCCUAAUGCUAUAAAAUCAAACUUGCAAAAAAGGAGAGAGGAGGCCGCACAAACUUUCACAGAGAAAUCAAUCAUUGGCAGCCGCUCAAUCAUCCUUGCAAACCCUAAUUUCCAUUUCUUUUUCCAGCGUAUACAAUCAACACCAAAAGAUCAAAAAAAAAUUAAAAGAUGAACACGUGAAGUUCAUCACCAACAACUCAUAAACAAAUUUCCAGAAUCACAAAACCAAAUCCAUCAAACAAUUUCAAUACUAUCACCAACAAACCGAACCGGCGCGGAAACCGAGCAAGCCAAAACAAGCUCGAAUCCACGGAGAAGAAAGAAACAGUGCGUGAAUCGGAGCAAACGGAACUGGAACAGCAAGUUUGAGGUAUCUAAGCUUGAAUCCGACUAAGAGAUAAGGUAAUAGAAGCUUCUUUCACGUUUGUUUUUUUAUCUUUGUUUUUGUUUGUUGUUUCAAAAAUAAUUCGAAUCUUCAAGCUUAGAUCUAGCCCAAAUCUCUCUACCCUUUUAAAAAAUAACUUCAAAAUCGUGUUUAGAAGGAGAAAGAGAAGAGGAUUGUAAAAAAAAAAAAUUAAAAAAAAUAAAGUUUAGUUUUCCGAUGCGGUGGCUCCGCUGCCGGAAACCAGCCGGCCGCCGCGUCGGACCACCUUCCUCCUUCUUCUCCGAC
RNAcentral lists this long non-coding RNA (47240 nucleotides) under Medicago truncatula (barrel medic). RNAcentral describes it as "long non-coding RNA (MTRU_LNC004316)". The stretch from base 3970 to 4138 matches the Rfam family "MIR2619 microRNA precursor family". The record is from RNAcentral. Lineage: Eukaryota; Viridiplantae; Streptophyta; Magnoliopsida; Fabales; Fabaceae.